AAUGAUGAAGGUGAGCAUGCCCCCCAUCUGUCUUCCAGAAUUUUUUUCUUCUUGUUUCCCGUAACUGAUGUUUGCAUGUUAAUCCAAAUGUGCAUGUUAUUCGGACAGAGAUAUAACAUGGUUUCCUCUGUUCCGCGAGGGGCUCGGCUUGUCACCGUGGGGAUGGGUAUUGGGUAGCGUGUGAUGAUUAGCCCGUCCUGAUCUAAGAGAAUUUUUUGAGUCCAGCAAUCCCUAUCCAUCUUUACCUAUUCCACUAUCUAUUUCAUGUGGGAUUUAUGCAUUGCCUUCAGUACUUGUAGACCAUAAUCAGUUAAAAACCACCAAGUACAGAGAAUGAUACUCGAGUUUUCUCUUGGGUUGAAUUCAAGUGGUCUGGUUUCUUAGCCAAGCCCAAAAUUAGAACAAGAAAGGCCCUGACUUAAGUCAUCCAUUGUUAAUGCUGGCGGAAGUUUUCGCCAUACAUGAAUGGUACUAGGUGGCUUGCACUCUUGUUGAUUGCAAUUAUCUCAUCCGCAUCGCGUGCCCAGCUGAGGUGUUUCUCUUUUUAUUUAUAACAGCGGCCCACGUCUCCAGCGCGGACUCGUGAUCAUCCCAGAUAAAGCCCUUUGAAUGAUGAGCAGCAAAUGAGACAAUACAGUCAGCAGUACAGUUUGCUUUUCGGUAAAUAUAUGUGGCCAGAUAGAAGUCGUCCGCGAAUGUCGUGAAAUAGCAGCCACCCUUCAGUCACACAUAUAAAGGGCACUUUAGUGGGAAAGGUGUACUUGUCCGCCCAUUUCUAGACACGUGGUGCAAGGUGCAACACUACUAGAUGGAGAACAACACGAGAAAGGGUCAGGUUCUGGGACCGUCUGGCCUUAGAACGGUGACGUGCUAACCAACGGAACCUUUAGAUAAUGUCCUCAACUGCCAAUUUAUUUCCCAACAAAAGAAGCAUCGCCAUAAUUUGCUGUCUCAACCACCCCGAGCACAUCCCAUGCGUAACUAGAUCAUCCUUCCUCAAGGUAACCGGAACCUGUGGCUGGGACCGACUUAGAUAAUGGCAGCCAAACUCAGCAUGGUAAUGGAAGAACGGAGAAGACCUGUUUCUCUCAUCUUAGAACCGCAGGAGCUCGUUGAUUGAAGACAAGAAAAAUAAUAGUGAGAUGAAAAGAGAUCCCAUGAAAUCCACACGCACAGACAAAGAGUAAGAUGCAAAGCACUGAAGCACGGGCUCUCUACCACAACAUAGGAAGGAAUAAAAACAGAGAGAGAAAUGUCCAGGCAAUGGAAUCCGAUGACAUGGCCAUGUCCCCUCUCAGCCUAUCGUUAUCCUUUGUGCCAUCAUUAGCUUUUCCACAUAACAUGUGAGGCAUGCCAUAUAACAGCCCACAGUCUCCAANNNNNNNNNNNNNNNNNNNNNNNNNNNNNNNNNNNNNNNNNNNNNNNNNNNNNNNNNNNNNNNNNNNNNNNNNNNNNNNNAGUUUAACUAUAUAAUUGUCACUUUAGUGUAGUCAUCAGAGGUUGGUAAAUUGUGUUGGCAUAACUCCUUCUUGAACCAUUGAGCUACCAAAUUGUCAGGGAAGGAUGCUGGCAUUGGUAGGCCAUCCAAAACUGAUAAGGCUAUCACAAAGCUGAACUUUUAGAGGGUAUUUGUUGGAGGGACAAUUGCAUGGGAUAAGCAUAGAGAUAAGAGGCAGUUAUUGUAUAUUGAGCUUCCUUCCUGAUAGGUUCGAUUUAUACCGCAAAGAUCGAAUUGCCUUUUCAUCUUUUUGAGUGUUUAUAAAGUGGAUAAAUGCCAAAUGGUAAUAAAAAAAACUAGGAGCAAGCCGAUUCCACAAUAUAAAUCUAGUUCAUUAUUUGAUGAAUAAAAUUAUAACAUGUGGGCCCACUUAUACCUCCACAUGGUUUAAGCUCAUUCUUUGGACCUUUUUGGUGUUUGGUAGGGACAUUCCGCCCGUUUAAAUGAUAUCCCUCACUUAUUUAGUUAUUUCAUAACCAAAAAUCCUCUCAGACUUACAUGUGAUGAGGUUGAUUGUUCUACUUCAGAUAACUUCCAAAUUGUUCAUCGAUGAUGCUUGCCGGCUCCUCAUGAAACUUUUGCUUAUGCGGUGUCAUUGCCCAUGGAGGUGGUCUCUCGACUCUCGUUACUAAUGUGGAUUAUUAGUUGCUAAGUUGAUUUCACGAUCAAGUUCUAUCUAUUUUUGUUGACAUCAUCACUUGCAUCGGUAAAGAUAACAUAUAAGUACACUAGAAACCAGCCAUCAUCUUCUAAGACUUCAAGCUAUAUGGAAGGAUGGUAGGUUGUAUGAUGCAUCCAAUAACAUGUAGAAUCCUUGAUUAUAAUUAUGAAUGCACUACUUUGAGGGAGACUCAGUUUUAUUUAUUUAUUUAUUUGUGCUGGAGAAGGUUCUCGGUUUGAAACUUGAAUUUUGUCCAAAAUUCCGACCGGAUUGUCGUAGUGGUCCCUCCAGCUCGAGGUAUUUUGUUUUGCCUAGGAUGGAUGCAUAGGCUUGAAUAGAAUUGCAUGCCAUGGCUGCAUGCGGUGAUGGAUAACAUGACAUCAUCAUGAUCAAGUGUGCACCAGUGGAUGGCCUUUAGCUCCCCUGUACAAGCGCGACCCGAUCUGGAGGAUCUUCCGCGAUGCGGAACGGGCUCGUUAGCUUCCGGCUUUUGAUUUCGUCCGGUGGGGACGGCCACAUCGGACGAAUCCCGCCCCAGCUGGGCCCCUCACCGGGCGCUGCCCACCGCCAUUUGCUCCAGGUCAGCACCCCCGGCUCGGACCGACGGACCGACCCUAAUAUCUCUCUCUCCCCGGAUUUCUUUCGCAGUUUCCCAUGCCAUGGCGUCCCUUUCAGCGCAAGCCACCCCCACCCCGCCGCCGUAGCACUUAGAACCCCUUCCCACCAAGACUCUUCUCCCAAUCUUUUUCUUUCUCCGCUCCUAUCUUCUUCUUGAUCUCGAAACGAGGUCGGAGCUCCUCGGAUCACCGGCGGGUUCGGGCCACCUUCUUGCUCUCCUCCCCUCGCGGAAGCCUGCACUUUGACCGAGCAAGAAGGUAUUCAAAUGUUGUUUUUCCUCUCUUGAUUUGUUUCAAGAACUGGAGAUUUUUGUGUUCUUGAACCCAUUUCCUGAGGAUUCUCGUCUCUUUUUCUAUUGAAACCCUUGUUUGUUUUCGUCCUCUCGUCUCUGUGAUUCUUGGAUUUCUGAUUAGUUUGCGCUUUCAUUUUCUUUUUUAUUUUUGAUCGACGGAUGCAUAUGCCUCGGUGGCGAGCUAGGGUUCUAAUCAGUGCGCUGUUUUUUUGAACAAUAGGGCAUCUUGAGCGUCUGAGGCGGUUCUUUCUUUGAAACCCUUGCCUCUAUUGGUGGAAUCUUUAGGUUUGGAAGGUGGGUCGAAGAUUUAGCUGUUUAAUGGAUGCGGUGUAUCUGUUAAGUCUAGGAGAUAGUGAUUUCCAGGGCAUGGGUUCGUCUGAGUAGGUUCUUUCUCCAAUCUUGUCUUGACAUUAGACUCGGUUCUUCUCUUGUGUGAUCUGGUUCACAGGUGCGAGUAGUUAGACAAGAGGUGUGGUGUUCUUGAAGGCAACAGAAUGUGUGCCUUCUCUUCUUGGAUAAAGAAGCGUUUUCUGCUGCUCUGCACCAUUGUUGGUCAUUUUGAGUCUGGUUGAUGGGAAGUGUCGAUCAAGUAAGCCCCAAUGGGGCUGGGAACAAAGCGAUGCCGGAACUAAACUAUCACAUCCGGGAUGAACACAAUGAAGUUAUUGAUGGCAUCAUGAGGGAGGGCCAGGGGCUCUCAGGAGGGGAUGAGUCGAGGAUUAAUGAGGCAGCACAAGAUUUGAACAAUGACCAAGAAGGUUAUGGGGCAGUCCCAGUGGCACAUCAGUCCGGUCCACGUAAACAGCAGCAGUCACCAGGGCCAAUCAUUCGUUGGGAGAGGUUUCUUCCUGUCAGAUCACUGAAGGUCCUGCUCGUGGAGAAUGACGAUUCAACCCGCCAAGUUGUCAGUGCCUUGCUCCGUAACUGUAAUUAUGAAGGUAAAUAGCUUAACUUUUAUUGUCACUAUAUAGAUCUGUGUAGGAUUUUAUUUUCCUUUCAAAGGAUGCAUUUGCUUAAAUGCUAGGACCUUCUUCUGAAGCAUUAACUGUUGUUCUGCUUAUGCUACAUGUUAUGUUCUCUAUUUCAAAAGGACUAACUGUUGUUAGGUGCUCUAUAUCUUUUCUUUCGUUUAGCUGCGAAUAAGAUGUCAUGUUUCUAAUUUUGUGCUGUUUCUUUAUAUGUCGUUGUUAAUUUGUGUUAUUUUUGCAUAUACUUACAAACUCUUAGGAGAAAUCUUUGGUUUGAAGACCUGAAAUGGCCUUUAAAGUAGCCUUAGUGAAGGAAGAUUAGCUAGAGUUGCACAUAACAACUGAGGUAAUUGGUUGUUUUAUUGCUUGCCAUGUACUAUUGAUGAUCAUAUAUAUAUUAUUGCUAGUCAAAUACACUACUAUAUCUGAAAAAACAGGACUCCUGAUAUUUAACAUAUAUUUUUAGGAAUUACUAUAUCACGUACAUGUGUAUUUUUAACAUCCUUUUCCUUUUAUUAUCUUCAUCUAUUCUACUGUAUAUAUAGGGUGUUUCAGAGAAAAGUUGACCAAAUUCUGUAAUUAGUGGGUAAAAAGAGGAAUCAAAUGAUACUUGAUUAAAUAUUCCACUGCCAGCAAAUAUCACUCUUGUUGUGAAUAAAUACUCAUUAAUGAAAGGCUUGUGCAGCAUUGGACAAACAAGAGCUGGAAAUAAGUAUAUGGAAUGAGAUGUAUAAAAGCUGGCUUGCAGAAUGUACUAGGGAACAUUAACCUUAAGCUUGCUUGAAUUCUUGUAAACUUGUUAUAAAAUUUGCUCCAUCUCCGGAAAUAUAGAGUCCAUAUCUGAGUGCCUUCAUCCUUGUCUGUUUAAAGUGUUCAGCCUAACAUUUUCUAGGUUUUCAGUUUGUCACCUUCCUUUUCUCCCAAUCUUAUCUGAGAAUUCAUGAACGCAUGGUCUUCUCUCUUAUCUUUUAGGACCUACUGUGCUUGUAGCAAACUUUGGUUUUGCAGAUGACCCUUUCUUUUUUGGGGUCCUUUUGUUAUUAUAACCUUGUCUCUAUUUUUACCCAGCGCUAAGUGAUUGUCUUUUUUCUUAUUGAAUAGGAACCAAUAUGUCUAUUGUAAAUUUUGACUUCAAGGAUGACUGCUAUUCCUUUUAUGCAGCCUGUUUUUAUUAUAUUUCUGUUUCUAUGUUCGCUCAACACUUGUCCUUACUCUCUUUAGCACCUUAUUUUGCUAGUUUCAUUAUCAUAAAAUUUUGUGCGUCCCUGUUAAAUUAAGUGCAAUCAGAUAUCAUGUUAAUUUACUUUCUUCAAUUCGUUGACUUGAUUAAACAAGCUUCUUGAUUAUAAUAGUGUAAUCAACUCAAUUUAAUGCCUCAUUAUGAUGGUUGACAGUCAUUAUUGAUGAUAAUUGCAUGAAUGAAUCUCCAAGCAUUAGCUCUCUGGUCUUACCAUUCUGCUUAUAAAAGUAGGGACCUAGGUUUUGAGUUUUGAGAAGUGUUUCCUGAUGAUCUUGCCCCAAGAAAUAUAUAGUAUGGGGGUUACACCCCUAGUAAUUAUCUAAUGGGUGGGACUCCGUUGGUGGGGCUCCCUCGUAUUCUCAGAAGAAAAAUUGGGGGUCCUAAGAUAUAAUCGCUGCAUGCAUGCUUCAAGAAACACAUUCAAACAACUAAAUCAUUAUCAUAUGUUUUAUCAGUUCCAUUGAUACAUGAUCUUCAAUAAUAUGCAUUUCAAGAGUUUCGAGUUGUAGGAAAUUUGGACCAUAAUUAUUAUCUACAAUAAAAAAAAAUCUUAUGUAGAUUUCUUGCAUUGUGUCUUCUAUGCAUCUGCAUUCAGUCAUGACUGUUCUCCAUCCUUUGGCAGUUACUGCUUCUGCAAAUGGCCUUCAAGCAUGGAAAAUCUUGGAGGAUCUUACAAAUCAUAUUGACCUUGUCUUGACUGAGGUACUCAUGCCUUGUUUAUCUGGCAUUGGUCUUCUAAGCAAGAUCAUGAGCCACAAAACUUGCAAGAAUAUUCCUGUUAUUAGUGAGUAUUCUUCCAACAACACUUGUCUACAUCAGAUUUUAAUAUAUCUUUCUUUGAAAUUAGAAUAUGAGAUUUUAAAUUAUGGUUCUUUCAAAAUAUUUAACUUUGAUACUUUUAACUGCUACACCUGAUGAGCUUUGCGUGCAGUGAUGUCAUCAAAUGAUUCCAUGGGUACAGUCUUUAAAUGUUUGUCAAAAGGUGCAGUUGACUUUUUAGUGAAGCCUAUUCGCAAGAAUGAGCUAAAAAACCUUUGGCAGCAUGUCUGGAGGAGAUGUCAAAGCGUAAGUUUCUAUCAUACAGAUAUGUUCAGUGUCUUCUAUGCCAUUGCAUAGGCUAAGCCAACUCAUGUUUCUUAGUAGUGUCUUCAGGUAACAUUAUUGAUUAAAUCAUGAUAUUGUCAAAUUUUUCAUCCAUCAAUCUCUCCGCUAUUGGUUUUCUUUUUUUAAUUGUUUUAUCUUUUUGUUUUUGAUUAUAGAAGCUAGAUUUAUUUUCCUCCUCUAAUUGCAUGGCUUUAUUGCUAUAUCUCAGUCUAGUGGCAGUGGCAGUGGCAGUGAAAGUGGCACCCAAACCCAAAAAUCUGCUAGGUCAAAGAGUGCUGAUGACUCUGACAAUAAUAGUGGCAGCAAUGAUGAUGACGACGAUAGGAGCAUUGGCUUGAAUAUUAGAGAGGGAAGUGAUAAUGGUAGCGGAACUCAGGUAAACCACUCACCGUUCCUCUUUCCCUUUAUUUAUUGGUCAUGUUUCUCAUUUUAAGUUUCUGUAAGGAUAACUAUUAUUUAUAAUCUCCAAUCUAAUCAAGGUCAGCAUUGUUGGACUUGUCCCUUAUCUAUAGCUUCAGUAUAUCAAGAAAAGACUUUAUUUACUAAUUUUUUGUUUCAUUGCUUUCUAUACAUUUCUCAAAUUCGCUUAUAGUUUUAAACAAUGUGCGCCAUCUCGGUACCAGACUGUACCAAUGCCAUACUAGCACUGUGUCGGUACGGUAUGAUACGGAAUCUUUGCGGCAUACCGAGUGUCGAUAUGCCAUCCGCAUCGGAUACCGGUACCGAAAAAUGGUAUGUACGGUUUGUCUUGUACCGCCAUGUUUGGGCCAGUACGGCGAACCAUAGUUUUAAAUAUGUUCUCAUUAUUUUCUUUUACUUUGAUGCCAAAUCAUCUUUGAAACUACUUCUCCAUUGUGUUGUUCUAAUAUGAUAUAUGAAGUUUCUCUCAAAGUCCACAUUUUCAAACACUGCUUGCUUCAAUGCUCCUUUUACAUUUGUCAUAUGUCAAAUGACUUAGUAGACUUGAUAGGAUCCUAACUUUUAGUAUUACCACCAUAAUGUAAACUAAGGUUAAAAAAAUGGCUCUUGAUAUAUCAUUCGCAAAUUAAUUGAUCAAGACCAUCAGAAUAUCAAGUCCAUCUCCUCAAAUAGGUCCACUAAGGCUCUCACUAAUAACUUUGAUAACUUUAUUUAACAUACGAGGUGAGCUACAAAGCUUGGCAAAUAAACUUUUGCCAUGGUCACGAAUUUAAGGUUUCACCAAAAAAACACAUGAAUCUAAAUCAUAAGACAUUUUAAAUUGUCAAUGAAAAUCCAAGUGGCAGUUCACUGAAAUAAAGCAAAAUCAAAAGUUUCAAAAGAAACAACAAUUGUAGUGGAAGAGUCAAAACAUGUGAUUAUCAAAAAGAGUUUACGUAACUAAGUCUAAAUCACAAGUAAAAUAUUCGUCUAAAGUUCAAGUGAAGGUUCAUUCAAUCACUUCGAUAAGGAAAAUUUCAGAAAUUAAAAUCCUUCAAUAGGGAAGAAAGUGAUCCAAACAUAUUUUACAUUAAAUUCUGAUAUUUCAUAUAAUUUUAAAUUAUUUUUAAGGUUUUACUUAAGGUCGGCGGAACCGUUCCAAACCAGACGGUUCCAACUGUUCCGAGCCGUACCGGUGACCCACCGGUACGGUUUCGGCAACGAAAACGAGACCUGUUGCCAUAGUCGGAGAAGAAGGAAAAAGAGCGAGCAGGGGAGGGAGGGAGAGGGAGAGAUCGGGACGCCGACAGAGGUCGGCGGAGGCCGCGGUAGGCAAGGCUGCGGCUGGUUCUCCUAUUUCGAACGAAACAUGGGUCCGACUGCAGCUAAAAAAUUUUGCGAUUUUUAAGUUAAGUCGGUAAGCUUCGCCAGCAUCACCACCCUCCGCCAGCCUCCCUCCUCUCCCCCCUCUUUCUUUUCCUUUCUCCCACGGUAUCGUACCCUCUGUUGGUACAGGCCUGGCACAUCCCGUACCGACUCGUCUCGCCGGAGAACCGGUACCGGUUCCUCUGACCUUGCUUUUACUUAUAUCCUUGAGGCUACUCAUAUUCCCAUUGCAAAUCUUAGCAAGGCCACUCACAUCCUCACUGAUAAUUCGAAUGAAACCACUUAUUAUACUAGUUGCUAGUGCAAAUGGGGCCACUCAUAUCCUUGGGGUCCUUUCACACCACUUGGCCAAGAGUCCACAAAUACCCCUGAGCCAAAUGUUUCCUCAUCAAAAUUCAAGUGAAGCCACUCAUGUACCACCUAACCAAGGGCCCACUUAUAUCCUCAUUGACAAUCCAGAUAAGCCUAUGAACUCCAUCUAGAUAGAGGUUCCCCUUCAAAGUUCAAGUGAGACCACUCAUAUAACAACUGGACAAGGUCCACUAAUUUGAAAAUGUUCUUACAAAUAUUAGAUGAAACAUUUAUUAGAAAGUUUCAAAAAUAAAUGCAUGUAAAAAACGUUCUAAUGAGAAGAUAAUCUGAAAUCAAACAUGAGUUCAAAAUAUCAGUUAGAGGAUUUAUGCAAUUUUACAUAAAAACUAAAACAUGAUUUUCAUGGUGGCAUAGGACCACAAAACAAGUCAAAAUGGUAAAAUUAUGAAACAGCUUAAGGAGCCAAAUCGAUCAUAAAGUCCAAAGUUCAAGAAAACUCUAGGUUCGAGAAGUGGCUACGGGUUCAGCAUUUCAAAAUAAUACUUGAUCUGAAGAUUUGAUCAACUGAUUUAGGGUUUCUAAAGAAUUUCAGAACCAUUUAUAAGCUUAAAACUAAUUAUGGGAUUCAGAAAACACUAAUCCAAUUGGGACUUAAAUAAAAACAUGGAGAAUAAAGAAAAUCAUGCAUUUGGGAAAGGGCCAUGUAGCCUAGAAUUUCAUGACCAUGCAUGAGCUGAAAACUGACUAAGAGAUUCAAAAGAAACAUUAAUCUAAUAAAAACUUAACUUUCAAAGACAUGGAGAAAGUUACUUAGCUAAUGUAGAAAAUGAAACAUAAGUCCUAUUCAAGCUUCAUCAUCAUCAUCAUUUUCUUCUUGUCCUCCUAGAGGCCACGUACCACUUCCUUUUCUCCCCUAGGCUGCCUUCGCUGCCCCUACUUAUAGGCAAGGAAGUAUGGUUCAAGUAGGUGGGGCGCAAUAAGUCAGUUGCCCUUUACAGUUGGUCAGCUAGUAAGGUCGGUUGCUAGUUGGGACAAAUGUAACACUAAGCAGGCAUAUAAUAAAGGCAGACUGGCCUCUUAGUAGACUUAUUUAUAGGCCCCUAAGUAAAUAUCCUCUUCUUCCUUUUAUUUUCAUUUCUAGUUACAUGUAAUAAGGAAGUAACCCCUAUUUCAAUUCAGGAAAAAAAAUACUUAAAAAUAUUUCCUUAAGAAUAAAUCAACUCCCAACUUUAGUUCAAAACCUCAAUUUUUGGCUCGGAGUCAAUUUUUCAACUUCCAAGGCCUAUGUAUUCCUCAAAUAUUAAGGUUGCACCUCUUAUAGCUAAACUUUACUAAAAUCCUAAAGCCUGGUUAAACAGUCCUAGGCAUAUCACCUAAAAUAAAGCUUGACAACACAACACAUUUCAUAGAUGCAAGAAAAGCAUAUAUAUAUAUAUAUAUAUAUAUAGAUGUAUAUGUAUAUAUAUAUAUAUUAUAUAUAUAUAGAUGUAUAUGUGUGUGUAUAUAUAUAGAUGUAUAUGUGUGUGUAUAUAUAUAGAUGUAUAUGUGUGUGUGUGUAUAUAUAUAUAGAUGUAUAUGUAUGUAUAUAGAUAUAUAGAUGUAUAUGUAUGAUAUAUAUAUAUAUAUAUAUAUAUAUAUAUAGAUAUAGAUNNNNNNNNNNNNNNNNNNNNAUAUAGAUAUAUAUAGAUGUGUGUGUGUGUGUGUGUAUAGAUGUAUAUGUAUAUUUCUAUCAAAUUGAGAUAGCAAGUAGCAUGCAUACCCGAAACAUGCUAUCAAUUUUAUAGAAAAUUUUUGAAUAUUUAUUAUUUAUUAUUUUUUAGUCCAAAAAUAUAUUUUUAAUCUAAAAAAUUACAUGAAGAACAAAAAAUUAUAAUUUCUUUGGCAUUGUGUAGAUUAUCCUUAGAUUUACAAUGUAUCAUGAAAUCAUGCCAAAAUACAAAAUUUUGGCGUGAUCUCCUCAUUUUCCCCAUUUUUGCUAAUUUUUGGCAUUAAAAAAAAGGAAGAUGAGAAGGGUGGAGGGGAUUAUACCUUGAGAAGCAAAAAUUUUCGAUCCUAAUUGGUGAAAAUAAGAAUUUCUCCUCUUCUUCUCCCUAAAAAACAAAAAGAAAAGGAGGUAAAGAAGGUAUUGGAGGCCUUCUCUGCCUUCCCAUAUAUAUAGGGGCACUACAAGCCUCGAACCAUCUGAACCACUCCGAACCAAGUGAAACCAAGCGGUUUUGCUCGGUUUGGGUCGAUUGGAGGUCUGUACCAAGCCAACAGCCUAAACCGACCGUGUAACCGACUGGUAUGAGUCAAUAUGGCACGAACCGAGCAGUUUAGGAUGAUUUGGCCUUCCUUGUUGAAAGAUGUUAUCUCCCAAGUUGAAGAGAUCAUAUAUCAAUAAGGGUUAUGGAAUUUUCCAAUCAAAAUGAACUGAAAAAAUUAGACAUAUGAUUUAAAUACCUCACUAGCCCUUAGCUCCCACAUUUUUUCAUAUGAAUACCUUCACAAGCCCUUAGCUCCCACAUUUUUCUCUCGUCUUACUAGUUUGUUAAUAACAAGAAGAAUUGUAAAGGAAGAAAUUCAAUCAUCAUAAAACCAUGAGAUGUGUCUUAACUCAAGGUCUCAUACAAUUUUGUCAAAAUUAAUUAUAUGGUUCAUUAAUGGGAAACCAUCCAAAAUUGCGUGCUAUCAGAUAAAGUAUGACAAAGUCAUAUUAAAGGGGAAUAAACACUUAAAAUAUGAAAAUGGAGGUGAAUAGGUUAUAUACAUGAUAAGGAUGAAAGUAUAAAGAAAUUAAUGAAAGGACUGAGUGAGAGGAAGGCUAUAAAUGAGUAAAGAAGUUAAGAAAAAGUAAAGGGAAUGACUAGGGGCAUAAUUUAUUUAACCAGCCUAGCCUAAAUGUAGCGAUCAAGUCGGUUCAGGUUGUUUACAAGUCUAGUCAGAUAUGGGUUGGGUUAGAAAAUUCCAAACCUAAACCUAAACAAUUUAUUAAACAAACAGGUCAAGAUUUGAAACCUGAACCUAUCAUGUUUAAUAAGCAGGUAAUCCAACCUCACUUGCUCAGCAUGUUUAAUAAAUACGUCAUAUCAGGUUAACUGUUAGACAAUCUGUUUACCCAACUAAAACAUGGUUAACCAUUAAUCACUUAACCUGUUUAACAUAGGCACAUGAUCAAGCAACUUGCUGACCCAAUUACUUGAUCUAUUUGCAAAAAAUGCAUGCCUUCCACUUUGAUAUAGUUCAACCCAAAAAAACCCUAUAGUUCAUGAUAGUGACAAUCAGUCAUUUCUCUUCAUAAAUCAAUAGAUGUACAUUUUGGGAGCACGAUCAUGCCAAAUCAGUACAUUCUGAAAGGGAUCAAAGCAAUCCAUCAACAUUUGUUAUAAUGAAAAACCAAUCUCUUGCGUGCUGAUGACCAUAACCCUUUACCAAGUCUCCUCCCGUCCAUGAUCAGAGCUUUCCACUUCAUGGAGAUGGGACCUUCAAUUAGAUUAUACGAAAUUUCUUAAAAAUUCUUUCAAAAGAAAAUCCUGCAAGCAGUUAUUCAAUAUAACUAUAAAUAGUGCCCCUUCCUAGAGCAUGAAAUAAAAUCAUUCCAAGCAAAAAAGAGAGAAAAAAUUUAAUACAGGACUAAAGAAGACGACUUGAUGAAUCAAAUAGCAAACAAGAUCAACUCCCAAAAACAUAAAAAAAACUCCAUGUUAAAAAUAAAAUCAACAUAGAGAUGUCUUCUUUUUUAACACUUACCAUGGAAAUCUCAUCUCAUAAUUUACAAAAACAAAGAAAAUCUCUUAAAUCAAAAGGUGAUACCGUGGGGUCAGAAACAGUAGACCUCCUAAGAUAAAAGCCGAAGAACCAAUAAGGACUCCAAAUAGAGAAGAAGCCUAAAGAGAAGAAGGCAAGAGGGAAGACAAACCUAAAGUGGGACCAUCUUCCAUGACCACCACCAGUGAGGAACCUAGCCACCGUCUUGACAUCCCUCUUGCUUGGCUAUAUCUUGAUAGAUCUUCAAAGUGAAGAGAGGAGAUUGGAGAUUGAAGAAAGUGGAGGUGUCACAGGAAAAGGCAGCAUGGCAAUCAGGGUCAUGCUAGUUGGCAACGACGCUCUUCCUCUUCACUUCUUCCCAAAUCAAUAAAACCCUAGAUCUUGAUUCCAAUCUCCACUCAUGAGAACUCUCUAGAACAAAUGGGACUGGUACGAUAAGAGGUUUGGAUAAAAAAGUAAAGGGUUGUUUAAAAGGGUACAUGGGCUUGGUUAAACAGGUUUAACCCGACCCUAUCUUGAUUAUUAAACGUGUUAAAUGGGUAAUGCCUCUGAAACUUAAACCCCCCAUUAAAUAAACAGGUCAAGAUGGGUCGACCUGUUUACGACCCGAACCUGCUUAGCCAAAAUACAAACCUGUUUAUAGCAGGUCAAAUUGGGAUCGGGUUGACAGGUCAGGUCAUUAUUUGCUAGCCCUACAUUGGUCGCUUAUCAUUGAAUAACAACUUUGCCCUUGUACUUAAGGCCAAACAUUUUUUUUUGGAAAAUACAAUGUUAAUAUGCCGUCACUAGGGUUUAAACCCUAAACCUCUCUUAAGAGCAAGCCCUUAGAGAGGAAUGCCAACCAUCAGACCCUAGUCCUAUUGGCUAGGACUAGAUAAUUGUAGGCUAUUACAUUACAUGUUUAGUUAUAAGGCGAGGGCCAACAGCAAGAUGCAGAAUAAGCACGCUACAUCUACCAGUUGAAAAUUGUCCAUUUGACAAGUCAUGUUUUCCCAAACAUAAUCAAGCCCAUUAAUGGCAGGGUCUUCCCAAGUCUUUGUUUGUGCUCAUACCAUCCCAUCUAGUGAACUUCCAGGCCUUCUUUAUCUCAUCUCUAGUUUCAUCCUUCAUAGUUGUAUUAGUCAUCUAAGUAUGCUCAUACAUGCAAAACACAUCAUCUUGAUGACUUGAUGCAUCCUUGGGACUUCUACAACAUUUGCUACUUUAUCAUUACCCUUUAGGGCUGUUUGGUCAUUAGAUUUUAUAAAGCCAUUAUAUGCAAAACCUAAAAUAAAUUUUUGGUGAAAAUGCUUGUUUGAUUUUGUUUCAUCAAACCAGAUUUAGAAAGAUUGACAAGUCAUGAGACCUCAAAAUGAGUGUCUUCCCUGUUUUUUGCACAAGUUUUAGAUAAUAUCAGGUUUCAUGAACAUCAUUUGUAAUAAAAUUACCAACCACAAUGUAGCCCCUCAAAGUUCCCCUUAUUACUAACUGGCUCGUGACAUGCAGAUAAAUCUACACCACUUUAUCGUGCUUUGUCUCUAGUAUGUCCUACUCAUCUAUCUCUUCAUUUUCAUAUAUAAUAUUUCAAAGAUAAUGUCACUUUUCACCACAACCUUAUGUUUAUGUGGGUACUUACAAUACCUGUAUCUCACAUGUCAUCUAUAACCAUAAGAGGAUAAUAUCAAGUAAACAGUAGUGAUGGCUGUUAGUAGUGAUGGUUGUUUGGGAAUGCAGUUCCAAUCAGGUAGUAAAAUCUGUACAGGCAGGUUGGGCAAGAAUUUGAUAUUGAACAAGGAGCUAAGUAGACUAAAAUGAUGCUUAUAUGGUCAUUUUUAGUUAAGGUAAUUAUGUGACCAUUAACUGUCAAUGUAAUACUUUGGUCUAAGUUAUGUAAUACUAUGUCCAAAUAUAGGCUUGGAAAUUUUUAUUGAUAUUUCAACUAUAAACUAGAUAAGUUUUAAACUUUUAAUACUCACAGAAAUCUCCUGAGGAUCAUUAGAUCCUCAUUGUUGAUGAAAACCAAAGUUUUUGUCACGAUGCAUCUAAGACCUAAUUCAUCAUGAUAUUGAUGAUUCAAAGUGAUGGAAGAAAAUAUUUAUUUCCGUACAUCUGUUUCAUAAUAAGUUUUUCCCAAAAACUGCUCCUGCGUGCCUAAAAAAAUUCUAAUUACUUGUAGAGUUCCUGGACGAAACGUGCGGCGGAUGUGGACAGCCCCCAACCUAUGUCUCCAUCAGAUCAGUUAGAUGAUCCACCUGAUAGUACCUGGGCUCAGGUCAUUCACCCGAAGCCUGAAACAUUCUGUAAUGAUUGGGUGCCUAUGACUGCCAAUAGGGAGUGCAAAGGAAAAAAAGAACUUUAUGGUAUAACAGCUUUAUCUUAAUAUUUGUCUCAACCAGGAUCGGCGGAACCAUCCCGAAUCGGAUGGUGUCGGCCGUACCAAGUCGUUUGGCGGCGGACUGGGACGGUUCCGGCAACGAAAAUGAAAUCCGUUGCCGGAGGGAGAGAAGGAAAAGAAAAGAUAGAAAAAGAGAGCGAGCAAAGGAGGCAGGGAGAGGGAGAGAGAGGCCGUUGGAUGCCGGCGCCUGGAUAUGAGGCGAAGACUGCGACCUCUCCCUCUUCUCUCUCUCUUUUUCUCUCUCCCGUUCGCCCUCUCCUCCACCUCCUCUACUGUGUCGGUAUAGGCCCGGCCCGGCACGACGUGGGCCUGUACCAACCUAUGCCGCCGAGCAACCGGUCUGGUACCCGAUACCGGCACAGCAGACAAUAGUCUCAACUAAGUAUUGAAGAUUCUAGUAUUAUGAUUGAUUUAUGAUCUGUAUAGCAGAUGAUUUCAUGGGCAAAGACCUGGAGAUUGGAGUACCGAGGAAUCCAGAUACACAAUAUGAAUCAUAUCCAACUGAGCAGGUUUCUACCAAGUUAACAUGCACAAGCAUGGACAAAUUGCCUGAAAGUGACCCAAAAAUUGAGGGUACAUUGGGACUUGAUAACAACAAUAUGUCUGAUGAACCAAGCAUCCAAGCUGCUGAUCUGAUCGGUGCAAUCACUAACAGCAUGGAUGCUCAACUGGUAACCAGAGUUAUGGAGGCACCUAAUGGCUUCUCCAGUGUCACAGAAGGCAAAGAUAAAACUGCGGAUGGCUCCAUGGAGUUACCAUCCCUUGAGUUGAGUUUGAAGUGGCUGAGAUCAACAGGACAGAAGGGAGCUGCUACUCAUGAUGGCUGCAAUGUUCUAAGACGUUCAAAUCUGUCAGCAUUCUCAAGGUGCGAAAAAUAAAAUAUAUGAGAACAUUAUUUUUGCUGCCACUAUUUCAGAAAGAAUAGCGUUCCAACUGUUUUUGUUUUCAUGCAAGGUACCACACUUCUGCUACUUCUAAUCAAGCCCCUACUGGGUAUGGAGGUAGCUGUUCUCCGCUUGACAACAGCUCAGAGGCAGUGAAGAUGGAAUCUACAAACAAUAUGAUAUGUAAUUCAUAUGCUGCUCCUCUAAAACGGGGCUCUGAUUGCAGUAGUAACAACAAUGACAUGGGCUCCACCACCAAUAAUGUCUUCACAAAACCAGUUGCGUACAAGGAAAAAGCAGCAUCUACAUCAACGUUCAAGUGUAUCCAUCCCUCUUCAGCCUUCCAUCCUGUGCAGUUUCAAGCAUCUACUCAGCAAGUUAUGCAACAGAAAGUUGAUGAUUUAGCAGCAGCAUCAAUGGGACAGCCAAGAGAGAUCCAAUGUCGAGUCCAAGUGCACCAUCGCCAUCACCUCUAUCAUCACCAACACCAUAUCCACAGCAUGCAGCUGCAGCAGCGGCUGCAGCUGCCAGACCAUGAUGAGAUGUCUCUCAAGAAUAUGGCAGCAGCUGCCCCACAAUGUGGGUCAUCUUCUAUGUUCACUGGGCCAGUGGAAGGUAAUGCUGCAAAUUAUAGCAUAAACAGGAGCAAUUCAGGAAGUAAUCAUGGGAGCAAUGAGCAGAAUGGAAGUAGUGCAGCUGUCAAUGCUGUAGGAAUGAAUAUGGAGAUUGCCAAUGGUAUUGCAGACAAAAGCACGGCUGGAGGUAGCGGUAGUGGGGUAGAUCAGUGCCGUUUUGCAUGGAGAGAAGCUGCCCUGCAGAAAUUCAGGCAGAAAAGGAAGCAAAGGAACUUUGGAAAGAAGGUAGACAACUUUUGGUUGCACAUCUAUAUUCAAUAUUUCAUUUCAAGAGGCAUGCCCAUUGCAUUGUUGAAGCAUACUCACCAAAUAUAGCUAACUUAAUUUUCCCAAGGUAGAUCAUGCUGGAUCGUAACAUUAAUACGUGGCCUUCAGGCCAUUUACCAUACAGAUCCUAUCUAUAAGAUAUCAAGAUCUCCCAAAAAUUUAUAGAAUGGUGACAUAACAUUGUCUUCCACCAGUAAUAGUUUGCACACAGUACAGGCCACUCUUCAAGUAUUUAUAGUUCUGUAAAAUUUAGGGAUAUAACUUUCUGCUAAUAAAGAUUUUCAAGGUUCGCAGUACUAAUACAUAUUGUCUUGUACCAACCGUAGCGUACCAUACUAGUGCUGAAGGGAUACUCGAUACGGGGAGUGUAUUAGUGUUGGUAUGCCAAACUGACCCUAUACCAGGCAUACCAAUACUGUACCGACAUGGUACUGAUAAAAGGUCUGAUACUAGAAUUGCGAAGUUUGAAGAUUAUGUUUGAUGUUCUAGUGUUCGGUCAUUUCAUUUUCAUUCUUCUUUGUUUUCCUUUGUGGAAUAUUUGGAUGGAAUUUGACUUUUUGUUGGUUUUGGUUUUUCAGGUCCGUUAUCAAAGCAGGAAGAGACUUGCAGAGCAGAGGCCACGCAUGCAUGGACAAUUUGUGCGACAGUCUAUUCAAGAACAGAGAGACCAGGAAGAAAACAGAUGACAUCAUCAGUCAUUUGGGUACAAAAUGUUAGCAAGUAUGCAAAUUGAAAUUUCUUGGCUUUGAGCCGCUCAUGGAUGGGCAGCACAUAGAUCCAGGUUGUGAGAACAUAAUAAAAGGAUUUGGUGUGUGGCAUGACUUCGAUGACUACUACAUGGAUGUUGGUCACCCUUGAAAGGGGUAGCUAUCAGCUGUACUCGUAAAGGCACGUCCGCAGCACUGUUUUAUGGUUUGUGCUGUUAAAGUCUGCAUGUUAUUGUUAUCCUGUUUCAGUCCAGCAUGCAGGCUAAGCUCUUUUCCUUUUUUCUUUUCUUUUUUUCCUUUAGGAGGGGCUGAUCUCUACUUUUUUUCUAUCCUAUACCCGUCUCAUCCUCUGGUGCUAACUCCAGCCUGAAUCUAAUCCUUACCCCUUGCCCGAGUGAUAAUAGGUGAUACAUCCAAGCAAGUGCUGGGUGGCCCAUUUGAGCCUCCAAGCCCGCCCUACUUCUCUACCAAAAGAGGGGGAAAAGACUCGCAAGCCUAUAGAACACAGACCUUGUUGAAGGUUAGCGUAAGCUUGACAAAUGAUUGUUAGAAAUGCUGAAAUAAGUCUAAUCCAGAGUUUGACAUAUGUUCAUCCUUAUGUCAACAUCAGACAACCCUUAAUUGCCCUAACUGUUUUCAUCUUUAGCUUCCAUGUUCGGCGAUCCCCUCCGAUCAGAGCACGAGCUGUUGUCAUGAAUUUACGACAAUCCACUUGUUAGCUUCCAUAUUUGUUUAUCACCUCCAAUCAGAACAGAUGAGUUGUAGUUUCCUGAUACUAUAACAGUCUAUUUGGGUUUCGAGCACAAGGUCCAUACAAGUGUCGGUCCGUAUGCAUGCUAACAGGUAAAUGUUGUUGAGUGAAUUUGCUUUGAUAUUGCCUGUUUUAAGUCUUUCAAAAAGCGCCCUUGGGAUUUGUUGGACUAAUCCUUCCUUUGGGCUAUUUUCUGCUUGGUCGCAGGUGGCAUGCUCCAACAAGCAUCAUUAAUUGAACAUGGACCAUAGGCACUUGUAGGACAAAUAACAUCAAGAAUACCUUGUCAUAUUUUUAUUUCUUCGAUCUCAUAUUUUUUUCUUGAAUAAGAUUUCAAGAGCCAUUACUCCACUUUUGUUGAUUGGUAGCAGAUUAUGUCCCCCAUGAUUCUCUAGGAAAGUGUUCCAACCAACCUAAACAGGUCCCUUGUGCUGAUUUACGUAACUAGACAAUGUCUUUUCCACUUGAUCGAGCUAUUCUUGCUCCAUGGGAUUAAUGUCACUACAUCUCGACAUGAAGGUUAGAGUUCCUGUGGUUAUCUCCCAAAGGGUAUAGAGUUCCUGUCCCUUAAGUGGCCCUCAAACAGGACGAGGUGAAGGUCAAACAGAGUCCAUGAGAAGGUUAAAGGAAACAAAGGUGAAGAAGAUAAAAGCUCAAAAAUAUAGAUAUUUUUAGAAACUAAGCCACUCAAGGAAUGAAUCAUCUUGAAGGGACGAAACACUAGAGUGCAUUAUGCUGAGAUGCGCCAAAACUUGAGGGAAUGAAGAGAUACAUUGGCAACAAAUAUGUUUAAACUAAAUAAAAAAUUAACACAUGUAUGAGGUAGAAGUAUAUUUGUUUAAUAAUUAAAGGUGAGCAGAAUAUGAUGGCAGCAAAACACGGGACCAGAAAGAAGUUGUUUCCAUUGAGGUAUGUGCCUUACAAAAGAUGACUAGGCCUUUUCUGAUGGCAAGACACUGGCAUGUUCAGUGGUGACUCGAGGGUUGCUUUGGUCUUUUCUAGUUCAAUCUUAAAGAGUGUUAAAGUAAUGAUCUUUUAAUAAAAGUGAAUAGCAUCAAGAUCCAUGGAUUCACCAUUGCUUUGUUCUAAAGCUGUAUGAUAGAAAACAAAUGGAGACUUUCAUGAUGCAACUAGAAUGUGUAUUUCCACAGUAUUACUUGCUCCAUUUCAUAAUCUAACUAUAUACAAGAGACUUUGUGAGUAAAAGAAAAUUGUUGAUGGGUGUAGAUCAUCAAUACAAUAAGCAAUCAAAAUUUUGAUUAGCAAAAUUGAGACAAGAUAUUCAUGGAGUAUAUUGGUCAUUUUUUCAUGAAUGCAUGCUCCCCUAUACAAGUAUCACUGAGAAGGUUGUGGAGUUGGAUUAUUUCUUGCAUUGGUAAUUUUCAAUUUUAUAUGCUUAGUCAUUGUACAUCCAAAAAUUAAACAAUUUCAAAAAAAAUGAGUAGGUUACCUGCUCUCCCUCUAUCUUUUGAUCAUGUAGGGAGGAAUAUGGUAGACUCGUGAUGAGGGCAAAAGUCCCGUGUUAAAUUGAAGAGGUCAACAGUAACACCUGGAAUAAAGUGUUCCCUUGAUUGUUCAGUACCAAUAUAGCAGAAGAAAACUAUUACACGAGAAUAAAUUCAAGGGCCAGCCAGUGACUUUAAUUAUUAAAAAGAUAAAACAAUGAAUGUGAAAUAGUAUAAUAUUAAGUAUCAUCAAAAAUACAUGCGCUUACAAAUUCCGUGUGGACCAUUAACUAUGAGCCACCUCAAUAUUGACUUCCUGGGUAGAAAUAUUCAACACCAUUUUCCUUCACCUUGAAGUGGAAGUUAUGAAUUUUGUUCAUUGAAUGCCCAUGUCUGCUGGAAGUCCCUUUGUUGAAAAUGGUCAACUGUCAAAAAUUUGCAAUGUAACUAUGAGCCACCUCAAGUUGUCCAUUUUCAUUGUAAAUAGUAGAAAACAUCUUUUAGGCCCACACUCAGAUAUUCGUAGAUUAUUUGUGCAUAGUAAUUAUAGUCAUUAUCAAGCAUUGCAACUUCAUGUUGAACAUAACAUGGGUCCAUUACUUAAGGCUCUUUGGAUGCUUGUGAAAUUUUCUUGAACAGAUUAUCAUAAAACAUGGUUCCGUAAAACAGUUUUAUCAAAGACAAGGGGAGACCUAUUUCUCAUAAACCUCAUUUUCCUGGUUUAAUGACUUGUCAGAUUUAGUAAAACAGUUUUUUUGAGGGAAAAAGCGAAGAACUACUUUUCAUAAAAUUCAUUGCUUUUGAUUCUUUUUCCAAAUAUGUUUUAGUAAAACUUGUCAAUCAAAGCUACAGUGAAUCCCACAUGCAUCUGUAAGAGCUUGUAGAGUUCUGUUACUUGUGGGAAUGUUUGUUGGGCUAUUUCUUCAGUUAAAGUCAAAGAAAAUUUUGUUAAAAAUCAAGAGUUUGAGGUUUCUUCUAAUGCUAUAAGAGGAGAGGUCAUUUAGGAUCCGGAAAUGAGCAAUUUUCCAUAGUAAGCCAUUCAAAAGAGAUCAUCUUUUGGUAGGAAGAAGAAAAUCAUUUUGAUUUACAAGUAUUUAAUUAAUUGUGAACUGAAGGGUUAAUUGUGCCUAGAAGUACACAGGUUCAAAUUCUCCAGCACUUAUGCUGAUAUACAGGAAUUCUCAGAAUGAACAAAAUCUAUGAAUAACUUAGCAUGAAAAAUGAGUAAGAAACUAAGAUAAAGUAUAACAUUGCUUGUGAUCUUAAGUAAAUUAAAUAAAAAACCUCCUCUUAAUUCAAGACAUUGUAAAAACUUCAUGACAAGUGCCUAAUGUCCGAUGCUAAAGCUAUCAAGUGGGUUUUACUACUUUCCUUCACAGUUUCAAGAUAAUAAAAAUGUAAAGAUUCCCGAAAGCUCAAUUAAAAUGUAAGAUAAUUGAAUUUAAAACUGAUAAUGAGCCAUUAUUAGCUAACUCUAUUUACAUAAUUCACAUUUCACAGUAUUUCAAUUUAUCACUCAUUUAAACUACUCUCUUAACAAAUUAUAAUAACUUGGAUCAAGAUCGGCGGAACCGGUACAGGACACCAUACCGCUUUUCCGGCGGCACGAGUCGAUAUAGGCCGUGUUGGGCCUAUACUAACAGAGGAGAGGGCACGGUACCGUGGGAGAGAAAAAGAGAGAGAAGGGAGAGAGAGGGAGGGAGAGAGGCCGGCAGAGGGUGGCGGACACCGACGGAGGGCCAGCAGAGGCCGCAGGAGGCGAAGCCGCAGCCGGUUUUACUAUCUUUUAAUUUCGCAAUUUUUAAGUAAAGUUGGUAAAUCGCUUGCCGACUUUACUUAAAAAAUGUAAAAAAAAUUUAAGUCGCGGCCAGGCCCCUGUUUCAUUCGAAACAGAAAAACCGGCCCCGACUUUGCCUCCAGCGGCCUCCGCCCCUCCGCUGGCAUCCCGCCCUCUCCCUCUCCCUCUCCCUCUCCCUCCCUCGCUCUCUCUUUCCUUAUCCUUCUCCGGCAACGGAUUUCAUUUCCGUUGCCGGAACCAUACCGGUGAGCCUCUGGUACGGCUCAGAACGGCCGGAACCGCCCAUCCCCAAACCGGUACGGCCGACCCUGACUUGGAUGCCCGAUACAGCAGAAUAAAGCAACUCCUAGAUAAGGCUGAAAAGUGACAUAAAGCACUAUACUAGUGACAUCACCAAUGGGCCUAGCAUCUGCCCAUUGGCAAUCCUAUUAUCGACAGAUUCACUGGGGCGAGGUUCCAUAUCCCUAUGUUGCUGGUAGCAUAUCCCUACACUAAAACACUUUAAGGAAAGAUACAUGAAUAAACAAAGAAUUGAAAUUAGAUAAAGAUAUUUAAACUUGCCCUAUUUUUGGAAUGGAUUUGGAAAGAGGUAUCAACAAAAAGACUUGACCAGACACAUGAAACUCUUCUGUCUCAAAAAGCAUUCGAAAAUGCAAUUCCACAAAAAACAGGGGUGCGACAAACUUCUUUAACAUAAUUACCAAAGGCUUACCCUGGAAGCAAAUGAUUUAAUUCUACAUAACUUGAAAAUAAUGCCAUAAUAUGCAGUAUCUCUACAUUGGGUUAUAAAAUGCAGUAAAAAGGUUGUUUGUAGGAGCAAUAUGGGUUCACUCGACACUAUUUAGACAAUUGUAUGUCAAAUUGAGAGUUGCUGUAAAAUGUUCUCAACCAUUGAUAAUUAUAGAUCCAUAAAGCAAGUCCGAAGGUUCAUUCAAGUUAGGUAUAUAAAGAAUGUUUCGUGGAUUAUCCACAAUGAAAAAGAUGCAGAUAACCAAAUUCAAUCAGUCAAAUAAACUAUAUGCAGAAACAAUUAACAAAGUCUUAUAGCAACAGUAAUGCCCAAAAAAUUUAAAAAAACAUAUAAAUGCUGUAGACCAAACUACUUUUCUGUUGUCGUGAUUUGGUUUUUAUACAUUCCAUAUAUAUAAUUCGUGAUAAAAGCAACAACACAAAUGGCAUUUACACAACCACGCGGAAGGCAUGGAUCGUAUACUGAACUUAACAGUGCCAUUUAGCAUCUCUCUAAAGUAAGCAUUGCAACUAUUGCUUCAAAUACAAGUUAUAGUAGUAAAGGUAAAAUCUUCAAGAUUCCUGAAUUUGACACAAACUGUAUCUUAACAUGUUCCUAUGCCUGGAAAAUUAAGGGUCAGGAACUCUUCAUAUUUUUAUAAUCAAAUUCAGUGAUUGAUGCAGAGCCAAUCAACAAUGAAGGUAGAGUGACUGACAAAGCGGCAAGGUGAAUCGACAAGGUAAUAGUAGCGCUGUCAUGGCAGAUCAACAGACCAACCAGGUGGGUAACGGUGGUCAUCAGUUGAUAUGGAGGAAAGUGAGAGAGGCAGUGCUUCAGUGGUGCAACAGCAGUGCAGUCAGCACAAGGAGGUGGAGUAUAGGAAAAAGGAGAAGGGAGGAGGAAGGAUUAAUCCAGAGAGUUCUGGUAUCCAUCAAAAAAUAUAUCAUAUUCCCCACAUGAAAUUCUAGGUGGGACACCAACUAAAGUAGCAGGAGCUUUGACCAAGUUUCAACGAUUGGUCCCUCAUGUGGGAUCCAGUUUGUUGGCCCCACUCCAUGCUCCAAAGACAUUACAAAAUGCGGACAGAAGCCCAACCACUGGUCAGCGAGACGAGAACCAAACACCUUUUGACCUCUCACUUUUUAUCUAGGGUACGGAUAAUGCCCCUUGCUUAGUGCAACUACUUAGAGACUCAUUAUACCUUAAUAUUUAUAUACUUAUGUAUUUGCAUGUCAAGUACAAGGAGACACCUCACUGUUUCACAAAGCUUAACCAGAUGAUGCAGAUUCUAGCAAGGUUCCUCCAAAGUUUAAACGAUAACAAUUUCAAGAGGUCUUGAUUAAGGGCCCUAGGGAGGAAUAUAGUAGACUCAUGAUGAGGGCAAAAGUCCCAUAUUAAAUUGAAGAGGUCUUGAUUAAAAGCUUGUCGUAUAACAACCCUUAGUUUGCAUAUUAUAUCCUAAUCUUGUAGCUAUUACAAGAAUUUUUUUCUUCAGAAUGUGCACCUAUUUUUUUUCCUGUUGCUUCAAAAAGCUACUUCGAGGCUUAAUUUGAGCCUUGCUAGUUGCUACAAUAGCUGUCAACNNNNNNNNNNNNNNNNNNNNNNNNNNNNNNNNNNNNNNNNNNNNNNNNNNNNNNNNNNNNUACCAUGGUAUCUUGCUCAGGGCCUUGCUAUUCUCAUUUUCCAUUAUGGAUUCCAUGAAUGAAAGGAUGCAGAAAAAAAUCCUAUUUGAACAAAAAAAUAUGUCAUAUAAAUGCACACUACCCUGCUUCCCAAUAGUAGUAUGUCUUUGUUCACAAUGCCUCGAGCGAGUGUUGACAAAACAGAGAAAAUCCAGAAAGAGAUUAUUUUGGAAGGGAUCAAAAGUGUUAACUAUAUAACUCAGUAAGCUGGAAACUACUUCAAAGACCUACAAGUGAUAACACAUCUAAGAAUCUGUCAUAUACAUAUGUUGCCCGAAACAUCUUGGUUUCAAUCUUCCAAACUAUGAUAGGAAACCGUGAAGGUAUAUACCUGUUCGGCCAUGCAUUAGCAUAAUUUAAACAAAUCAAGAAAAAUGAUUUCAUACAAAUUGUACAGAAAAGAGAAACAGAUAAUUAAGUAUGACUAAAAGGGUGAUCUUGCAUGCUGAGCUGAUAAAUUAAUUUUAUAAAAUAUCAAUGCAUUUCAAUAUAUCCCUCAGGAAUAUUAACUGAAUUACUACGUGAUAAAUUUUGGAAUCUGGAGGAAGGGCCAGUUUUAACUGAACAUGUAUUUUACACCAUUUUCCAGGCAGAUUUGUAAGAUACAGGACCCUUUACAACUAAACCAUGAAAUGGGCAGUAUAAUGACCUUCAGCUAGGGGACAAGCCCAUAAAACCCUAUCACCAAAUCUUUUGAAUUUGGCUGCUCACAAAGAGGUACCUCUCAAGGAUUCUUAUAAAAAUGUUUUGGAAAAUCGGAGUGGCAAUUUCUUGCCUUGACUUGCCAACCCAACCAAAAUAAAUAGAUAUCGGGUGAGGGUUUUUAAUAAAUGGAUCAGACUUGGGUUACUCAAGACCAACCCAAUAAUAAAUGAUCAGGUUUGGGUUUGACAACCCCCACAAAAAAAAAAACACCCGAUGGAUCAUAAUGGGUUGGACAAACACUUAAACUUUUAGCCCCUAUGUCCAUAGGACAAUGGCAAUAGUGUGAUGGAUCAUUGAAUAGUUUAGGAACACUGUGAAUUAAUAGUUAGUAAAACGUAAAUAUACUAAUAUAAAUGUGGAGAAAAUAGCAUGUUUAAGAUCUAAGAUGCUUUUUUACCCACUUUAAUUUCUUCUCACUUUAUCCUGACACCCAAUUCCUUCUUCUUGGCUCUAUUUUGCUUUCAUUUGUUUAAGGUACAUAACAAAUAAGUAGAGCCAUAACUAGGUUGGCAAGUGGGGAAUCAGUCUCUACAAAAUAAAUGGAUCUGAUAUGGUUCCUUUUGAAAUCACUAUUAACGAGUCAGGUGUGGGCCAAGGGUUUUUACCGACCUAAAUUUGACCCGACCUAAACCAAACCUAACCCAAAUCAUUGCAAGCCCUAGCAAGAACAUUACUUGGACACAAAGCUUUCAAAGAUAUUUUACAGAGGUAAAAAGAAAGCAACUAAACUGAUCUUCUUAACAACCUUAUAGAUGCACACAUGCCUAAGAAAAUGUGUGUUUGAAAUAUGUUCAAUCCGUCAUCUUAAAGUUCACUCCCUUUUUAAGAUAGUGUAGUGUUGAUCAAGACCAUAGAGUGCUAUAGCAUGCGCUUCUCACUGCCAGCUCCAGAAAGAGUGGAAUUAGUUUGGUGGUAAGCAAAUCUAGAAAACUUGGUAUGUUACUAUCAUCGACGAUGCAGCAUGAGCUCCUUGACACUAUCUGCAUCAUGUUGCAAAGAUGGUAAUCAGUGAAUCAUCACUCUUCAUUGUGUAAUAGCUAGCACUAGACCUUACUUUUCAAGUUUAUUGGCGACCUUGAUUGUCUCUAAAAAACAGUGUGGAUGUCCUUGUUGGAUCAUUUGGAGUUCCAAUGAUUUUUACAGUUCCAGUCCAAAGAGCGCUAAGAAUUCUACAGACUCAUAUAGUGGACAAAAUUAAAGUUAUCACACAGUGAAAAAUCGUAGAAAGCUUUUCAAUAGCUUGACUUUCAGUUACGUCACAAAUUGAAUAAAAUACUAACUCGUGUUAUUGAGUAAUAAUAAGCAUACUUGUCCAUGCACAUCAGCAGAUAAGCCAGUACUUAAUGGUUCUGUCUUUAUCACAAUAUCCGCAAGGUACUCCAGAUGUGAAAGGAACCUUGGGGCCUCCUCGCUUGAAUAGAUAUCUUCAUGGUUCAGAAUCACUAGAGAGCAAUCCUGUUAAAAAAAUGUAAAGGAAUUCAAUAAAAGGAGUAAGAAUUAGCAAAAGAUGAGACAAGCUUGAAGUCAUCUUUCUAACCAGUUCUGCUGUGAGGCUAAUACAGUAGUACAGGAAGUCCAAGACACAAUCUAUAGAACCACAUGCAGCUAUCUCUAAAAGGGAGAGGUCAUCUAUCAUGAUGGUAAUGCAGCCUCUGCUGUAUUCCUUUGACCUUCUCGCUUCUAUAGCCCUUUGAAUCUUACUAUACAAUCCAACAAAACCACUUUCAAUGUCAUUUCCUCCAGUCAGACCUGUAAUUCAAGAAUCAUUAGCUUAGCCGCAAGAUGAAUUAACUAAAUCACAUCAUAAUAAAAUGUUAUCACAAUGAUGUCCGUUAGUGAAAAAAUCAGCAGUACAGAUCAAGGGCCCUAGAGAAAAGACCAAGUAAUUGAUGGCGGGAAGCAAUUCUCUUUAGCUUCAUACUCACCUGGAAAUUCAAGCUUAAGCAUGUCAAAAAAGUGCAGUUUAUUGUUGUUCCUUUGAACCGAUAGACUGCAACCCUGAAUCAAAUAGAAUGUACUAAAUUUAUUAUUAUGGUCAUCAUAUUCUGAAACAAUCUCUGAAGUGGAAGAAUCACCAAACAAGCAGACGUUAAACAAAUAUCUUUCUUUAAAAAAAAAAUCAACUUAGAAAGUAAAUUAUAGGUACCAAACUGUUUAAUAUCAGCAAAUUAUUAUGCAUGUAAACACAUGUAUAAUUCAAUUGGCAUGGGCACCAUCUACUGUGUGAAAGAGAAAAUGGGAAGCUAUCGAUGCUUAUCGAAAUGUAAAUCAUCUGCAAUGUUAAAACAUGUGUGUAGGGUUGAAUGCACUUGAGCAUAGAAAACAAGACAAUAACAUCAUAAGGGUUUUGAAAAGGUUGAAUGACUUGUUUAUCCUAUGAAUUUCAAAAUUUCCACAUGUUGCUCAUUCCCAACAUCAAUAAGCAUAAAAUCUUCAACAACAGUGGAAUAUAUUCUUUAACUAUCAAGUAAUAAUGAGAAGAGAAUGCAUUUUGAAAGAAAAUCAGAGGUCAGAAUAAUUAGGUAAUUUAAUCAAGUUUUUAUUUAGACCAUGUUAUUUCAAGUGUCAAAUCCUUAGCCCUCGAAUACUUAGGCACCACAACUUUACAGUUUCUGAAUGAACCUUGUUAACUUGCGAUGUGACCUUUCUGAACAUGUAAAAGAACACCAGUUAAAAAUCUUACAAGGUUCAAUUAUCCAAGCCAGACAAGCACAGGAAGAAGAAUAGACAAUAUGGAUGCACGUAAUUUGCUAGUUUAGCACAACCCAAAUAAUUCAAUAGACGCAGAAAGCUCUAACUCCAAUCUUUUUCCAUGUUAUUUUCCCUUCUUGAUCAAUCCAGCCCUAAAUCCAUCACCACAACAAUCAGUCACAGCCUCAAAUAAUAGAAUGCUCCCUCUGACCCACUUCCAUAUUUCACCAAAGAUUUUACAUUGCCCAUGUCCAGUCCGAGUAAUGCUUUCUACAAAAUGCCUAAUCUUAAUAUCGAUUGCUAUAUCCCCAGUCACCUACGGUUUUGACCAGUAGAAGAACUGAAUCUUGAGCGCUCUUUCUAUCGGGUAAAGAAAAAAGAAUCACCCAUCCCAUUGAUCCUAACAACUUCACUACGUAAUCUAAAGAUUAAUCUUGACACGAAUCGGUGCCUGAUCUAACCAUAUCUCCGUUGAUUACCUUCCCUUCAUAUAACUGUGGAUCUUGAUAGCAAUCACUAUUCGAAGUUAUCAUAUCGUUUUGUCCCGAGGACAAGGUGGAAUCCUGAACGGACUUUUCCAUCCAAGACCUGGAAAAGGCCUACCAUCGAUCCCGAUGAUUUCCAUUCUACCAUCGUUCGUAUGCCGAGAGAAACCAAGAACAGUAAUGUACAGAAGAAAGGAAAAGGGGGAAAAAGGGGGGAAAGAGCAUCAUGUGUUUGAGAAAACGACGAGGAGAACGAUAAUAAAGAUUAGGGUUCGGAUUUGGGAUCAUUGCUCACUAGCUUCCUCAGAACGCGGUCGUAGUGGGAGAAAGGCUGGGCAAGGGCGAGAAAGAGUACGUCCCCGCCACCCUCGCCGGCGGAGAGGGCGCGCUUCAGGAGGUGGUGGAGAACGAACGCGCCGCUCGUCUCGACGCAGUCCUCGACGAGGACGACCCGCCCCGCGGGAAGCGCAGCGAUGGCUCCUCCGUGGCCGAGGCCUAGGGCCUCAUCAAGAAGAUUGGAAGGAGGGUUCAUGCUCUCCCUCUCUCCCUCUCUCGUCGAGCGAAACCCCGCAUCGCCAGGAGAGAGGGAUGAGGCGGCAAGCGGCCAUAUUUAUAGCUGGGUGAGCUAGGAUCCUCACCCGUGCUAGGUAAAGCGGACCCACCGCCUGUGCGCGCUGGUGGGUGUCUGAAAUGAAUUAUCUCAAACGGAUGAGAGCGGUGGGUGCAAAAGUCGGUGAACGCGUCUCAACUUAUUUCCACGUCUUCCCGAAAUUCUACCCCAAAAUUUCAAGAAGUGGGGAUCUGUGGGCGUGUGGAAUAUAAGAUGCGUUGGAAUUAUUCGAUGUGAUCAAUCUUGGGAAAAUUUCAGAUUUGCCUGCGCCAUAGUGCUACGGUGGAAUACCAUCCUCUCACCGUCCACAACUCUUGGAGUUGGCGGUGGAAUUGAUUAGGAACCAAUUUCACCAAUACAGUCUCUUCGUUGCUCCUUCAAAAUUUCUAAAUUCUAAAUACUGGUUGUAUCAUUAAAUGCAAAAGCCACCGCACGUUGUCACCUGUAUCAUGCAUAGAUACAAGCAUUGGGGUUUAGAUCCUCUGUGCAUCACAAGAGGUUGUACGCUCCUAAGUAGUUACCAUGUCGUCCAUCUCGAUGACUCAAUUUUAUCUUAAAAAUAUGGACAAGUUGGGAUCGAUGCGACACGGCACACGAUGAAAUAAAUGAGAAUCAUUUUUUCUAAAACAGACGCCAUUAUAGCAAUCUAGGACCAACCACCAAUCUAUAGUGCAAAAUAAGCACCAUGAAAAAUUCAAGCUGACCAAUAUUAUUUAUUGCACACUUAAAUUUUUCUUUUUUUUUACAAAAUAUAUUUCUUUUAAUUCACUUCCUACCAUAGAAGACAAAACAAAAAAUAAAAGAACAUCUCUACCAAAACAUCCACCAAUCUACGGUGCAAAAUAGGCACCAUGAAUGAUCCAAGCUCAUCGGCAUUAUUUAUUGCACACUUAAAUUCUCAAACUUUUUUUACAAAAUAUAUUUUUUUCUAGUUCACUUCGAGAAGAUAAAACAAAAAAUAGAAGCACAUCCCUAUCAAAAUAUGAAAACAAAAUGAUUACCCAUGCAUGCACCUGCAUGUGUAAUGCCACCAGCAUGAGCAAGACCUUUAAAAUACAAUUAUGAUCAAUGUUUCUUGGAAUAUAUAUAUAUAAUUGAUAUUAUAUUUUUUAAUUACAUAAAAAUGCAUAGAUUAUUUUUUUAAAAAAAUAGAAAAUUAGAGUGAACCUCCAACCAACUACUUCUUGACAAACGGCAGCAGCUACAACUUCAGCGUUGCGAAAAGAGGAUAAUAUAUAUAGCAAAAAAAUUUAUAAAAUAGAGAAUCAAUAUUGUUUCACCUAAAAGAGAACAAUAAUUCUAAGCCAAAUGCAUAAAGCUAUUGGUGACGCAUUUGUACCAUUAUAGAAUUCUUAAAUUAUGCUUCUAGGCCAUAAACAAGAUCAUAGGUGACAAUACUAGAGUUUACCAAACUUGCAAAUUCAAAAAGUUGUUGCAUCAUUAUUUUCAACCAUGUCUAGGCUAAUUGUCCUUGAAACAUAAUUAACAUGAUUUAGAAAUAUUUGUGCUGGUUCAAAAGAAGAAAGCUAAUCGUUACAAGCAAUAGACGAUCAAAAAUAUAUUUAAUAAAUCUAGGAUUCGUUGAAGGAAUCAUAUUUUGCAACCACUUCGAUCCAACUACUAGCACGCUAAUCAUAGAUCUUCAGAAAUAUUUUUCUUCAGAAGUUCUAUUUUAAUCCAAACAGGUCCCUCAGAUCCCUUACCAGAUCACCAUGGACUACAUUGCUUGUGUCAGAGCAAUUGAAGUGCUUUCUUUGCUCCAUGUUUAUUCUUUUUUUUUGAAAAAAAUUGACAUAUUCACCUGCCUCCCAGUGAUGCAAAGAUUUUCCUUAACAUAAGCAUCCAUCCUAUGGCUAACUCUUGCUUAUCAUUGUAAACUUCUAAUUUCAACCAUCAUUCUAAGUAAAAAGUGCUCUGUUAUUAAAUAAUUUCAGAUUUAAGUCAUGGAUCAAGAGACUUAUUUCGUAUUGGACUCUGACCGGGUCCAAAAUACUGGCUACCGAGUCACGCUCGAGCGCCGAACGGUAAGCGGAAACUGGUCCGAUUCGCCCGCGCCAGAACCACACCAGCCGCUGGUGUUCCACAGCUUUCCGAGGACAACAACAUAAAGAAAGAGGGCGGUCGCCGGUCCGUCGUCCGGUUUACGACUUCGGGUUAGGGAAAAAAACAAGAAAUAUUUUAAAGAGGGGCCCAAAGGCAUUCAAUAUACGUAAAAGGUAAAUAAAUUAACCGUGUUUCUAGGUAAAGCCAGCAUCGAUAUACGAAAAAGAAUUUAAAUAAAAAAGAAUACUAGAACCGCGUUUUUUGGGUCAAGAUCGGGGCACACGGUCAAGUGGGUUCUUCGAUCCAACGGCCCAGAUCGCUCCGUCUUUCCAUUUUGGUGGUUCCAAGAACCAAGAAACGCCGGUUCUCCGGUGCGUGAAGUGACCGGGAAUUAAAUUAUAAUUGAAGUUUGUAUUCUCCUAAUUUUAAGUUUUUAAACUGUGGUGUUUGCUUUCUAAUUCUGGCCUCUUUUAAUCGGAGUCCUUCCUCUUUAUUUCCUCUGUCACUCUCUUUUUCUCACUCUUUUUCGUGAGAGAGUUAAAAGAGGGGAAGGGAAGAAGGGCUCGAGGACGAUCGGUGGGAAGGGAAUAUGGGGUGCUUUCCGUGCGCCGGAGAGCCGAGCAAGAAGGGCAAGGAGAAGGAUCAGAUCCUACCGGACUCAGGUGCUUGGAAUCCGUAGCAAAUUGGCGAUUUUUUUUUUCGUUUCUUUUGCUUCAUUUGUUGUUUUUUAAAUCGGUCGAAUCGGCUGGGGGUGGGAGCUUCUUGGAAUUUUUGUCUUAUCGGAUAUGGAUUUUGGGUCGGAUGGUUCCAGAUUCUAGUCGAAAGUUAGGGUUUGCUGAGGGGAAUCACUCGAUCUGUAGGUGUUCUUUUUUUAGGACUUCCAGAUUUUUUUCCUCUGAAAAUUGGAAGUUGGGUUGGGGUGCGUUUCGAAGGAACUCUUUCAUCUCCGUGAUGGUUUUUCUUGACUCGGCUGGUGUAAAGGUGAUGACUUUGAUGGGGCUUGGGCGGAGACGAGUGCGCCAAUGGUCUAUAUAAAUGUUUGGUGUUUCUUAUAACCAUUCCCUAGGAGAAAAAUCUCCUGUUGCUUCUAUAAGAUGGGCUUUUCUUUUUCUGUUGGGCGAUGAUUAGAUCGUUCAGUGGUUCCAUAUCUGCAUAUAUGUUAAGCUCGAUGCAUUAAUUGAUGCUUUUUCCGCGUGUAUAUAGUUUGAUUAAAUAAAAAUUGUAACUUUUGAUUCAACUCGAGUUAGAUUUCCUAUUAAUGUGUAUUUAAUUUCAGAUUUAAUUAUUGAGCGGCAUAUUGCCUCACGGCUUCCAAGUUCUAACUGAAGUUGCUAUUCCUGCUGUUGGGAAUUGAGCACACAAUACUCAUUUUAAUCUGGUUAUUCUGUGGCAUAGAAAUAACCGAGGCAUCUAAAGCGGAGAAUCUUCAUAUUUAGUAUUUGGUGGCCACUGAUAUGCAUUUAGCGAUCUGUGACUUUUAAUUAGGCAGUGGAACUUAAGAGUCUUCGUCCUGGUCCAAUAACAACAAACAGAUAAACUGUUAAUUUGCCAUUUAAGUCAAUGACAUGAAGUUUUAGUCUUUUCCUGUUAUUUGACCAUUCAUUUAGUUCUCAUGUUCUGAAAGUAUAUAGUUUAGUAAUUCAUUUAUGUUUUUUCUUUAGCAGAGAAGUCAAAAUCCAAUUCCUCGUCAGAUGUAAAGAAACAGAGCUCACAGGAUGCAAAAGAGGCCUCAAAUGAUGGAUCUGAACAUAUUGCUGCUCAGACAAUUACAUUUCGUGAACUGGCUGCAGCAACCAAGAAUUUCAGACCUGAUUGCCUCUUAGGAGAAGGAGGCUUUGGCCGAGUUUAUAAGGGCAAGUUGGAUAGUAUUAACCAGGUCAGCAUUUGUUAUCUUUGCUGUGUUAAUCUUUUAUUUUUCUUUUCUUUUUUUUCACUAUAUUUCAUUGUGCUUGCAAAAACUACUCCCCCUCUCUCUCCCCCUCUCUCUCCCCCCUCCCUCCGUGUGUCAGUUUCAAAACUGGAAGUUAACUUUUACAUAGUUCUAAGCUUCCAAAAGUGAAUUUCGUCAGAUAAUAUUUUGUUUUCCAUCAAUAUUUUCACUUUGUCAAAAUAUUUGGUAAUCUUUGCUCAAAUCAUUUUAAUCUUACAUCCCUGCUUUUCUUUUGCCCCUUGCAUUCUCAAGCUAAAAACCGAUACAGUGGUCUGACUUUGCUGCUCUGCUUGAAUAUGAGAAGUGCAAAAAGAAUAGUUUCUUUGAUCAAAGAAAGCAUUAUUAAAUUGAUAACAUGGAAUUUUCUUGUGUUCUGCAUAGAUUGUGGCUAUAAAGCAGCUUGACCGUAAUGGCUUGCAAGGAAACCGAGAAUUCCUUGUUGAAGUUCUGAUGUUGAGUCUACUUCACCACCCUAAUCUUGUUAACCUAAUUGGCUAUUGUGCUGAUGGAGAUCAGAGGCUUUUAGUUUAUGAGUACAUGCCACUAGGAUCCUUGGAAGAUCAUCUUCAUGGUAAGCUACUGUAAGAUGCAUCAUCAUCAUACUGUGCAUAUGUUUUGUUGAGCAGAUUGCAUUUCUCAUAUACUAAAUGUGCUAUCUUUUCUGCACUGAAGUAUUCCUGUUUAUUUGAUUACCUUGCUUGCAACAGACCCUUCUCCGGACAAGAAGCGGCUUGACUGGAACACAAGAAUGAAAAUAGCUGCUGGUGCAGCUAAAGGAUUAGAGUAUUUGCAUGAUAAGGCCAAUCCUCCUGUUAUAUACCGUGAUCUGAAGUGCUCCAACAUUUUGCUUGGGGAGGGAUAUCAUCCCAAGUUAUCCGAUUUUGGCUUGGCAAAGCUUGGUCCUGUUGGUGAUAAAACUCAUGUUUCCACUAGGGUGAUGGGUACUUACGGAUAUUGUGCACCUGAAUAUGCGAUGACUGGACAACUGACACUAAAAUCAGAUGUUUAUAGCUUUGGGGUUGUUCUUCUGGAGCUUAUCACUGGAAGAAGGGCUAUUGACAAUUCUAGAGCUUCAGGGGAGCACAAUCUCGUUGCAUGGGUAUGGGACUCUUCCUUUCUUCCCAUUCAUCCUUGUUUCUAUACACAUGCAAGCAUACACACGCAUUUCGUAUCCCAUAUUUCUUAGGCAUUCAAAUAUUUCUUUCCAAGAAGCACAUUAUUAUCUCAGUCUGGUUAGCAUGAACAUUUAUUAUUAACUUGUGUUCUAGAAAAUAAUUUAACCUCAGAGCUCUAGCUGUAAAGUUUAAUGCACAAUGUAUAUGUGCAUGAAUCUUGAUGUGCCCAUGAACGAAAAAACAGAUUGGGAGGUUAUUUUCAGUUCCUUUUGUUCUUUAUUAUUUUUUAAUUUACUAGAAACUUCCAUGGAGUAACUUCGUUGCCUCUUUGGUGUCAUCCAAUGAAAUCGAACUUUCCUACUCUAGGUUACUGUUGGAUUCUAAGCUAUGAAACCUGAUGUAUUUGUUGACAUUAAGUUUGGGUACACAACUUGCCAGAAUCAUUUUGAAUCCUGGGUAGGCAUUGGCUGUGGCUAAGUUCCAGACAGGAGAGUCAUGGGUGCAAGUUGCAUUCCUGUUUGGAAGUUAGUUCUUCCCUUGGGAAGUGGUUCUUUAUCGUGGGGCAUUGCUUCUGCAGACCUUCUUACUAGUGGGGGAAAGAACAUUUUGGCUCGGUGCUUUCAUGGUUGAAUAUUUCAUUCUUUGCACUUCAAAUAAUAUUUCCUACUGUGAGGGCUUUGUUCUUUGUUAGGAUGUUCAUGCAUAUGGAUCCUUGUGAAUGUGCUAUAUGCAUGUUUGCAGGCACGACCCCUUUUCAAGGACAGAAGGAAAUUCCCACAGAUGGCCGACCCAAUGCUUCAGGGCCAGUACCCUGUGCGAGGCUUAUACCAGGCUCUUGCUGUUGCUGCUAUGUGUGUUCAGGAGCAGCCUACCAUGAGGCCUUUAAUAGCUGAUGUGGUUACUGCUCUCACUUACCUUGCUUCCCAAAUUUACAGCCCUGAAGCUCAGUCAAAUCAAAAUGCUUCUCGUUUGACAGCACCAGGUACUCCACCCCGAACGAGAAGGGACAGUGAGAAGAGACCAAGUGGCGGAUCUGAAAGAGACCAGUUGAGGGGACUAAAGUGAAAUCAUCCAUUGCUUUUGGCAAUGCAAAUAAUGAAUUCUUCAUAAAUGCUUCAAUUCCACCUGCCUUUCUACCAUCUCCUGACGCCAGAACAAUGAAAAGUUUUGCCUUGCAGUUUCUGGUGCAGAUCCCACCUUUACUCUUUUGGCUGGCUAGUAGGUGUCUGGUAAUCAAAUUUUGUAUCAUUUUCAGAAAACAGGUGCACCCUGUUUGAUUCAUGUCUAAAUUUUUCUAGGAAAUGCCUUUUUUUUUCCUCCCCCUUUUUCUCUUUGCUGUUGUACAUGCGAUUUCAGGUCCCUGUAGUUAAACGCUUCUGUUCAGACACCUCGCUCUUUUAUUGAUGUUCGUAUUAUUUUUUUUCUAAUCUCGGGUUUUAGAUGCAAAAACACUAUAUUUAUACAUCAUCCACUAAAGACUAAAGGUUUAUGUAGGCAUUCCCAUUUUUUAUUGUCAGCUGCACUUAUUCCUCGUCAGCUUUUCAUCAAUGGACCUGCUCAAAUUUCAGCUAUUAAGCAGUAAAGAAAGGUGGGCUCUUAGCAUAUCUGAUUCAAAUUUUGGCAACCAAUAUAUGCUUUGAUAUAUAAUGUAUUAUUGCUCCGACUACUCGGUUUUUCCAAAAUACCAUUUUGAGGGGCCAUGAACAUUUUCCAUUCUAUCCCAGCUGGUAUGCUGUCUGUGCUUUUCCUUCAAUUUCCAGGGUCCAAAAUGUGUUAUACGAGGAAUGUUAUUUUGCAAGCUGGGAGUUUUUGAGUCUGGUACUUGACAUUUACAGACCUUGUUGAGAGAAACUCAAAAGUGUUUGAAGAAGAAUGCUGAGGUCCAAUUCUAGUGGCCAGUUGAUAUGAUGAAUCCAUCUAUAUUGUGUGCUCUGUGGAUGGCACAUUCAUCAUCAUCUCAAUUGUCCAAGACUACUCAAUUAUAAGUCUCCAUUUUUCUUUAGCUAAAGCGAGUACUUGCAUAUUGCGAGGAGGUUGGCAGCAAUGCACAGCUUUAUGUGCUGUAUAUGGUAUGUCAUUAUUGAUAGCCAUCCAUUUUUUUAUGGCAGCCAUCAAGUAUUGCAUAGCACUUUAUGGUACAAAGUGCACGCCAUUGAAAAUCUUGUCAUACAAAUAAAUCUCAAGCUGCAUAAAUCGGGCUGCCAAACAACCAUAAAAUACUUGACAUAAGUGGAGAGUAGUUGUACCAUUCAAAGGUGCAUAUAACUAUUCCAAGAGAACCGGUCUAGACUAUUGCUAUUAUGGAUACUCCAAUUUAUGUGCAGGAUUAGCUUUUCUUUGGCAAGAUUGGUUGUCUAUUAUAGUUGUAACGUCGCUAUUCUUCCUUUGUUUUGAGUUGUUGCAUUUGGCUUCUAGUUAGACCACCGUUAGUUAUCUGGGACUGUAGAAGAUAAUUGUGCUUCCUGGUUGGAGCAUAAGCAAUGAUACUUUUCCUUGCAACAAAGUUACUUACCCAUGUUAUUUUUGAGAAAAAAUGACUAAUUUUAUUUGGAAUAUAGUAAGGAAAUCAUCAUUUCUUGGAAUAAAAUGCCUACAAAAAUAAAUAGGCUAGUGAUUAAUGAUAAGGGUAAACAUGUUGCACAUCCAUUUUAUGCCAAAAAGCAACCUUAUCCCAGAAAUUACAACCAAACAACACAAGAAGCAUAACUUUUACCAGGCUAUUAGGUAUAAGAAUUUGUAGCAAUAAAAAAAGGCAAAACUUGUAGGGUAAUUAUGCCAACAAGCAUAAUUUCUACUAUUCUUAUUUUUCUUAUUCCGAAACCAAACACAAAUCUAAGACAGGAUAAGGUUUUCUACAUAAAAAUUGCAAUAGCAGAUAUUUAUGGAGAUCAUAUGGCGAUUCUCCUGAGAGAUUAGCUAAUCAGAUGAUGAGCAUUGAGUAUGCCAUGAUUGGAUCUUUUAUCUUUGCUUUCUUUGAAAUUUUACUUAGAGCGUACUAUAUCUAUAACUACAAAUCAUGUUGUGGAUGAUACAAUAGAAAGGAUAAAAUAAGCCUUACGUGCAGCAACAAGCUUCUCAUGGAUUACAUCCAUAUCCACAAUAUCAAAAACUUUGGAUCACAUUAACCUUUUCUUCUUCAUUUAAAUAUUGGCCUGCAAGCAGGAAAUAGGAUACAGGUGCCACUUGCCAGAUCUCAUGGACUUCAAAAAGCAUUUGAUCCCUAACUAUUUGAGUACCCCAUAAAACAAACGUCUUUUCCGGAAUAAACCAAAGGAGUUCACGUCCGAUUGGCCAUUCAGCUCGUGAGAUUAUGUGCAGGUUCCCUUACCUAUUCUUUGAACCUCUUAAACAACCUCCAUCCACGAAAGGGGCGUUUGAUUUGACUCUUGAUUUGAAAUGUGAGAGAGCGCCGUUUCACGACAGGGAUUUGUAUGACCGCAAGUUGCCGAGUCGUUUUUUCUUUUUUGGUACAAAUCAUUGUUCUUUUCAAAAUGCAUGAUUCAGCUGGCUAGAGUUAAAUAACGGGUACAAGCAUCUUACCAACUGUCAAUUAUCAAAAUUAUUUAUUAGACGAAACAGGGUAAUGCUACUUCGCUGAUGAAAUUUAUACUAGUAUCGUUUUGUUACAGUAACAGAACAUGCUUGUUAUAAAAUCAGUUCUACUGAUCAAAUAUCCAUAUCCCUCUAUAUCAUAUACAUAACAUGAUAUAUUCUAUAUUAUUCUAUUCGGUAUGAUAUAGUGUAUCUAGAAUAAAAAGAAAGUUGGAUGGGUAUUUAAAGUUUUUUUUUUUUUCUGAAACGCGGCAUUACAAGACCGGUUUUCUGCUGCUAAUUAUGAGGAUCUUUGCUCUAAUAUCAUGCUGAAAUUAUCACUUAUUUUAAAAAUUUAAGCUGAUAAGAUGAGAUAGAUUUAUUUAUUUUUAUUUCUUUCAUCUCGUAGGUGGUAGGACACCACUUGGAAUCCCCCCAGACUUCUGGAUGAGGCAGUGGCCCGUAAAAAUAGCACCCCACUGCCAUUUGUGGAUGGAAAUGUUCCAAGUUUUGUAUUUGGCGAUGGCUCCUGUCUGUUUGCAUGGAGCAGAGCACUCGACCCCUAACUCUCGGAUGGCCAAAAUCUUGUGACCACCCUUCUUCAGCCAGCCAGCACAAGGAGGCCAUCAUUAUGUAGAUCUUUAUACAUUUAAUAAUUGUUCUUCGGGCCAAGAAGGGUGAACUCUAACGCUCGCCAAAGAAAAUCGUCGGCAGGGAAAAGCCUACCUCCAUCCUGGCUGCGCAGGUGAUGGUCCUUGUCGCGUGCCCGCACGACCCGCGGCACGCGGCAAUAUGGUCAAGCUACGGACAUGGAAGAGACCGAUCAAUACGGAAACAACGCAAAAUAAUGGCUUCCAUCUCGCUGACGUCCAGGCGUCUAGGAAUCGGAGAGUAAUAAAAUAGGGGACACUCGAUGAGAAGGUCGAGUUCAUCAACGGAGAAAACUAAAGUCAGUCAAAAUACGAUUGAUGCAUGAUUUUUUUAUGUAGUAUUUAUGUCAGCAUCUGACACGCUGACACGCCAGAGCGCUGGAAAAGGAAGAGAAGUCUGGAAGGAUGAUUCAAUCAACAUUGAUGCAAUGAUAUAUUUGUCCCUCGAAGUUGGUGGAAAGGUGGGCCCUGCGAGGCACUGGAAGGUCAUCUUGCGGUUGCAAAGAAGCAUCCUACCAUUCCAGUUGGGUGGAAAGGCGUCAUGGGUCGCAGUGAUCUUGCCGUCAGCCGAACAAGAAAUUUAGAGUGGCAGGCUCCGCAUAGCCAAGUAGAUCGGUAUGCGGUAGAAAUGGCGACGACCCGGGUCUGCCGAGUCGGUUUCGUUGAAUCGGCCUCUCUGAUCAGGGUUGGGCAGUCAAAAAUUUCCACCCUGAGAAGAAGUCCGGGCAUAUUUGGCAUCCUUCGUAUUUUUGUGUUUUGUUUUUUAUAUAUUAGCAGAAUAUCUCACAAAAAUUGGUAUCGAAAAUGGCAUCUAUUCGAAACUUAUGCUGCUCCUCGAUCGUCUUUAUUUUUCACUCCUUUUCGAAAGCAAUAGUUUACCAACUCCAAAUGCUUUAAAAAUUUUCCUUGACAAUUUCAAAGAACUAGAGGGUUUCAUUUUUUAUUCCACAUAAGUCAUUUAUCUUCUUGGGUUUUUAAAAAUAAAAAUAAAAAAUAAAGGCAAUACCAAACAAACUCUUGAUCAUUAGGUUUUCAGCUAAUGUAUCGCUUGAUAAUAACAUGACUGUAUUUUUAUUUGUACAAUAGUGACAGCAGUAUAAUUUUUGAAGCAUGCGACUGAGUACAAGAUUGACAUUAAUUUAGGUCUUAUGAAGCAAAGCAAGGAUAGUUUGUAUAACAAAACAAAAUUUGAUGAUCCCUGUGAUAAUUCCAAACUUGUCCCACUUUGCAUCAGGCUGGAUUCUUGUUGUAAGAGUGCGGACUACAAGGGAAAAUUCUCUGCUAUUCUGGCAUGCACUUUAAUUAUUCCUUCUAGCAGUUAUGUUAUCAAACUUAUAUCUGUUUAUUUACCAAAGAAAACUAUAUUCAGCAUAUAUUUUGUGUCUCUUGGAUGAAAAUGGUUUGGCCAGGCCACUCCGGUCGACCGGCCCCGAUUAUAAAACUCGCCAGGUCAGCCUAAGGACCAACUGUUAAGUGUUACCAUGGGAUCAGGCUCGGCCCUGAACUUUCUUUUUUUCUUUUUCUUUUGUAGAAAAGGUGGUUUUAUUACUAUAAGCUUUCACGUACAGGACCACGAAAUAGCUGCAUAAAGUAGCUAUAUACUUAGCAGUAAAGCGCUCGACAGAAGAAUAAACGCUAAUAUAACCAUAAGGGACCGAGUCGGUACGAACAGAGACACAGAGAGAGGUCUACGUAAGCCUAGAAAACACCCAAAGCCAUAUUCAUGCACGACGAGCGCAUAGAGCACAUGCACGUACUCCGCUUGGAGAGGGGAAACAGAAGGGCCACCGCAACGACAAGUGCUCCGCUCCGUCGAGGAAGAAGAUGUUGGAGUUUUUAACUUGUUAAAAAAAAUUAAAUUUCAAAAAAUAUAUAUAUAACUAAUCCUAUUUCUUAUUUGUUAAGUGUUUCAAAAAUUUUUAAACUCAAUUCUUUUUUAAUCCUACAUCGGAUAUAUAGAAGCAAUUUUUUUACUUAAAUAAUAGAUUUUUUUUCUACAAAGUCCAAAUCUAGCAUCCGCUCUGUUUUACCGUUUCCUCUCUCACUUGGAUCCCUGGUCCCUCUCUCUCGGUUACUCUUGCAAGAAGCUUAUUUCAGAGUGAUCUCAUGAAAUAUAGAACAUUCUAAGAUCAAACCGUGCUGAUUGUGAGAAAAUGCACUUGCUCCUGUAAUAAACAAUAAUUUAUUCUCUCUGUCUCUUGUGUCCGUACCAACUAAUUACACUCAUGAACAAUGGCCGACCAACUUGAAGCCAGCAUCUAAAAAAUUACAGGGAAAAUUGCCGAAUUUACUGACACUCUCAAUUGGAUAUUUUAUACAAUGGGGAAAGGAACUGAUCAUAUCGAAUGCUAUUCUUAUAAUUUUAUCGAUCUUCUCUAAUAGAAAUACAAUCAUAGGGCAUGACAACACAACCCGAAAUUUGGAGGCAUGCUGAUGUGCUAGUCCCUUCCAUCAGACAUUCUAGUUAUCCGAAUCCUGGUGUCCUUUCAGAUCUUUGUUCGGUGUUCUGGGGCUCUGUCCCAUGCUAGAAGUUUUGCCUUCAAAGAACUCUUCAGUAUUGCUUGGCUUACCCUGAAAUUUGAUGAAUCGAAAUAAGAAUCAGUAGAAUCAAUACGUAGUAACAUGCCUUAUGGAGCAACAAUAUAGCCCAAGAUAAAGGAUGAGAUUUAUGAUUUUUUUCUGACCUGAAUAUUACCUUUGCUGUUACAGAAUGCAUUAUUUACAUUAUUUAACACAAAGUAAAAGCAAAGGAUCAAAAAGAAUGCAUUUUCAAUUACAGAAAUGGCAUGCAAAAUAACGCCUUGUGUUAUUAUAUGGCAUGCAAUAUUUUACUCAACAAUAUCUUUUGGCAAAUAUGACCGGAGAUGCGCACUGCUUUACUUACUCGGCCCCACGUCAUUUAUUUGUCAUAACAAAUGAAAAGAACAUCAAGAAAUCCUCAGGAAACAAACAAUGAAACUAUGGUUUAUUAAAAAAAAAACUUCCAAAUACAUCAUUUAAGACCUCAAAACUACAUAUUGGUUGUCACAUUCAACAUUAUUACAACUCCUAAGACUUUUCCAGUGGGACCCAAAUUUUACAGAGAUCAUUUUGGUCAUCAUGCCGGUCAAGAUCAAGAACAAACAAUUCAGCACUAAUUACCUUUAUCAACUACUUGACAAGAAAAUCACCAUAUGCUGGACAAACAUACGACUGAUGUGGAUAAGCAUAGAAGGCAAUUCAGGAUUGCAAACAUUGAAAUUUUAAUGCUGAUUUUGAAAUAACUACCUUGUUUUUGUCAAGCCAGCCAAAAGGUCUGGAGAGCAGGCCUAUUUUCCUGGUGGGUGCAUGCUGAGACAACUCUUGAAUGGCCCGUGGAGUUCUGCAAAAAAAUCACUCAACACAAGUUCUGAUAUUUGACUAAAGAGCAUGCAUGCUAUGCCUAUAUCCAUAUACUGAAAAUGAGGAUUUGGUGCAGUGAGAGAGUGAACCAGCAUCAAUUCAAGGGUACAGUUCAUGUUAUAGCAGUUACUUUACAAUAACCAUCUGCAAGAUUAGAUCUAAUAGAAUCAAAAAGAAAAAGAUGGAGAUACCUUGGAGAAUGAGGUUGUUGGGCUUUAACCUGGCCAGACUGGUACUGUAAUGUAGCCUCCAGCAUCGUUUCCGCCAUCACAGCCCUUUUCUCCAUUUGUGCAAGUGCAGACACAGCUUCUUCAUAUUUUUCCUGCAUGUGUCAGGUAAGAGCAGGUAAAGACUUACAGCUUGUGAAGAAUAACCCAAAAGGAGUACAUACAUAUAUUUUGAUUCAGAACAUGCCUAAGUUAAAAAUAUUGAGGGUGCAAUCAGUCUCGUUAGCCUCCUAGGAAGUAGAAAAAAUAUAUGCCAAGAACGGAACAUCAUGAUUUCACAAUUUGGGAGCAGAUAUCACUUCAAGCACAUUCUUAAUUGAAAACAGAAGAUUCACAACUCUUCUGCAAUUAACAUUACAAACUGCAACUUUUCAGCAGAGCAAGAAAUUACUGAAUGUGAUUUGAAAGAACUUGGAAUUAGCAAAAAGAACAAAUAAAAAUUUUCAGUACCUUCCCCACAGACAUAAAUAAAACACACUGCUCAAACACGGUAAAUGAUGCCUAGUCUCUGAUCUUUAGUUUAACAGAAUUAUGGAUCCCAACAAAGUUACUUCUCAAAAAAGAAAAAAAAAUCAACUAGAGGAGAAAACUCCUGAGAUUGAACCAUCAAGAGGAACAACCUUACACGUAAUUCUGUGACAACAGACAGCUUGACCAGAUAACAACAUGCCAAAACUCAAAAGUGAAGUUAGUAAGAGGGUACAGAUUUUGAGUUUACACAUUCUCAAUUCACUUAUAGGCCUAAUGCACAUCCGUUUCCAUGAAAGCAGGAAAUCUGAAGGACAUACAAGACACUGGGCCAUCCAUGUUUCUAGAACCAUCUCUUACUACCAGAAGUAAAUUGGUAAUGUCACAGGUCAACAGUUUAAGAGAAAACCGGAACAAAAUCUUUCUUGCUGUGGCUUCACUAAAGGUCAAAAGAAAAAAAAAGAGCAGCAACCCCAGCUUAAUAUAACAUUCUUCCAAAGCAACCCCAGCUUAAUGAAACAGUCUAAAACCAUUACAACUCCUGUGUACAGCAAAUAUGAUUUUGAAGUACCUUGUAGUGAUUGUAACACCUCAAACCCUAAGCUGAAGCACAAGUACAUUUAAUCACAUGAUUCAACUAGAAUGAAUGCGGGGUGGGGGGGGGGGGAGGCACAAUCAUUAAAAUGCACCACAAAUUCAUCAGUGGGAAAGCACCUGGAGCACAUGAGCUGCGUAUUUCUGACCAGCAGCAUCUUGUUCGGCAGAUACACGAGCUUCUUCUGUCACCUUCUGUUCUUGUUCCAUCCUCAUCAAGACCUACACUAUAUAUAAAAGAGCUUCAAUUCAUGUAUUAAGACAGUCCUACUGCAUAUGAGGGCAAGUGACCAGACCAGAGAAAUGGAAAAGAUAUAAGAAGAAAGCAGCACCUGAAGAAUGGCGCGCUCUUGUUCUUGCUUAUCUGCAAGAGCCUGCCGAAGUUCAGAUACCUCUUUCUCCAACUGCUCAACCUGUCAGACGAAUCCCUUUUGUCAAAAUAGGAACACAAAGCGUGGCAGAGAGAAAUGCAAAAUAAUAUUCAUAGAUUAAAUAGAAGUUCAGAUACAAUCCAAGUAUCAGCAACACCAUUCCCCAGGUUUUUUGGUAAAUUCACCACUAACUCAUGAAAAAGAGGAAAAACUAGGAAAAAAAAUUACGAUAUCAUUCUCAAAAGUUAUGGUUCAACCAUUGGCGAUAUGGUGCACUCAUUUCUCCCAUGUUUCUGAAAUGGUUACAACAUAAGGCCCUGGUCUUCUUUGCAGCUUUGACGCAAUUCUAGGAUAGGUUCUGAGGUAAUUACACAGCAAGGAAAAAUCAAGGAGUUUGCUAAAGUUACAUUUCAUGCUCAAUCCACUCCCUGGUGUCUACUAGAAUGUGCUCCCAGAGGCAUCUUUGCAAUGGAUCUCGUUUUUGAGGAUGGGGGAAUGGGUAAUAAGUUUUAAAGAGCUUUUUCCAUCAGCGGUAAGUAUACCCAUUAUCAAGUUGACAAAUGCAAAUCAAACGGAAAAUUACAGACAGAUCUGAAACUUAAAAAAAAAAUGUGAAUAUAGCAAAAGGUGAAUUUUUAUGAUAUGUGCUGCUGGUUGUCAAACAGAAGAGAUUUAUCAAUAAUCUUUGGUGUGAGGAUGAUAGACAUAAAAAGAAAAUUGAUGUUAGUUGACCUAUAUUUUAUAUCCCAGUUUUUACUGUUGUCAAUAACAAAACAUGUGAUGCCACCAAGAAAAGGACGAACAUUAUAACCAGUAGCAGCAGGGAGAAUGUCUCAGCUGAAGAAAUGCCAUGUAGAGGAGAUGUUCUGUAAAGCAGUAUCAAGAUGAGAUAAAAUAGAUGAAAAUAAACUAAAUAAGCGAACAUAAAGCCUCUGCAAGAUUGAGGUUAAAAAGAUGCAUGUGCAAUGAAAAACCACCACACUAACAUGUCAUCAGUGGAUGGGAUUACCAUAGGCUGGGACGGAUGCAGAGUCAAACGACAUAAGUAAAAUGCCAAAUAGCCCACUUUGGUGGCAGUUNNNNNNNNNNNNNNNNNNNNNNNNNNNNNNNNNNNNNNNNNNNNNNNNNNNNNNNNNNNNNNNNNNNNNNNNNNNNNNNNNNNNNNNNNNNNNNNNNNNNNNNNNNNNNNNNNNNNNNNNNNNNNNNNNNNNNNNNNNNNNNNNNNNNNNNNNNNNNNNNNNNNNNNNNNNNNNNNNNNNNNNNNNNNNNNNNNNNNNNNNNNNNNNNNNNNNNNNNNNNNNNNNNNNNNNNNNNNNNNNNNNNNNNNNNNNNNNNNNNNNNNNNNNNNNNNNNNNNNNNNNNNNNNNNNNNNNNNNNNNNNNNNNNNNNNNNNNNNNNNNNNNNNNNNNNNNNNNNNNNNNNNNNNNNNNNNNNNNNNNNNNNNNNNNNNNNNNNNNNNNNNNNNNNNNNNNNNNNNNNNNNNNNNNNNNNNNNNNNNNNNNNNNNNNNNNNNNNNNNNNNNNNNNNNNNNNNNNNNNNNNNNNNNNNNNNNNNNNNNNNNNNNNNNNNNNNNNNNNNNNNNNNNNNNNNNNNNNNNNNNNNNNNNNNNNNNNNNNNNNNGAGAGAGAGAGAGAGAUUUCUGAAAGGGUUUAAGCCAAGAAUUUAAGGACUGCUGGUCAGUUAUAGGUUUAGAGGAAACAACUUAUAAGACAACUACUACAUGAAUUUUAGAUGGAGUAAAAUCUUUGCAUGCAUUAUUAAAUUAGAUCAUCAAUUACAGAGCCUACAGGCUUUUGUGUUUUGAUGAGAAAAUGAAAUGAAGAAUAUUUCAUGAAAAGAAACUAAAAGGAAAGAAAACAAAGCUGUUGAGAAUGUGGUUAGGAUACAGUGUUAUCCUGAUCCACUUGCCUUUUGUUGUCUUCUUUUAAUACCACUAUGCAAAUUGGAAGAAAAUUUUUUAAGUAUCUUAGAGAAAACCUCAUUUCUUAAUUUUCUGCUUGCAUCUCUCCCUAAAUUUAAUUUUCUCCUUACAUUUCUCUCCCUAAAUUUAUCUUUCAUUACCCAACAUUGGAAAAGAAUACCAUCCCCCUCCCCCCAACAAAAAAAGGAAAAAAAAGAGAACUUCUCUCACUCAUUUUCUCAGCAACCAAGCAGAACAUUAGUGUCAUAGCUCAAACACAUAGAAUCUUUUGUUGAUUAUAAUUAGAACUCUGCUGUUUCUAACACUCUUUUCUUCUACCAAACUACUAAUAGUUUCAUUCAGCAUGCUUAACUGUAGACAUGAACUCCAACACAGCCCAUGAACCCAGCAUAGAUGGCAUACAUAAACUCAGAGAAGAAGACUCCAGAACUAAGCAAGUGACAUUUCAAUUGGAGUAAAAAAAUGCAAUCUAUUACAGAUUAUAUGCAGAUAAUAGUCAGAGUCAUACAGGGAAAAGAAUUUUUAUUUAUAGAUGGCUAGAAACUUGAGCUGUACUGCUACUAAGCAAAAGAAGCUGUCCAAUAAGCAUCACAAUAAUCUACCUUGGCACUUAAAAGGCGUCUAUUAUCCUGCUUGACCAUCUCCAUGAAUGCUGUCUCCAACUCCUCAGCUCUAGCAUAGAAUAGGAACAGCAAAUAAAAUUUAAAAUUUACUAUGAGAUUAUUUGAAAUUUGCUUUUGGGAAGAUAAACCAUUAUAGUUGCAAAACUGUAUGUUUUAGAAUUGCAGAAACAAGAGAUAAAUGACCACACAAUUGGAUAUCAGAACAAACAACAACUCAGAAUGGCAAAAAAAAAAAAAGUGUCCAUGCAUUUGGCAAUGCCUAGCAGUUAAAAAAGUCAUUGGCAAUGCAUAUAGUUAAAAAAAAAAAUCAAAGUAAAAUUGCACAAACUACAUGUUCCAUGCAAGCCAAACAAGUAGCGCAAAGAACCUCUCCUUUUCCCUCUAAGCAAAUGAGGAACAUUCACUGAAACAUGAUCUCGCCCACAAUAUUCAGUGUCAUCGUCACAUUUUAAAGAAGAUAUUUAAGCUAGCACAUAAAAUUGAGUGAACUUUGCAUUCAAUGAGAGCAUAAAUAUCAGCUGUCCUAAGGAGAUUUUGUAUUAUCUAAUAUAUAGGAAUGUAAAUAAGAACGCUUUUUUAUUCCACUGUUACGUGGUUGGCUUUACAACUUCAACUUGGGUCACUCGAGUCAAUUGGAAGAACAGGAACAGCAAGAUCUUGAACAAGCAGAAAGAUACUCCCAAAUGACCCACUAAGCUUGUGGUUGCAUUUGCAGUCGAGUAUUUCAAAUCAAAGGAAAUCAUAUCAGGUUAAUCAAGUUUGGAAACUGAUCAUCCGGAGUCUCGAAUCCAGGACCCAGCAGAUUUGAAUCCAGUUAAGUGAACAGACCUAAGGGACAACUAAGUAAAAGAAUCAAUAAAGCAAUAGCUAGAACGUUGGUUAUAAAUGAAGAAGGGAGCAUGGUCAAACAUCACAUAGGGGUAGUGAAGGUUCCGGGCAUGUUAUACCUCAAAACAAAUUCAAGCAGAUGGCUGAGUUAAGGGCCUUAUGAGAGGGUCCCAGUAAUCACUCACAGGCUUUGCAACAUGACAAACAUUUGCAUGGAGGUGGCUCUAGUAAUCAUUUCUUGGGUAAAGGAAAUCGUCAAGAACAAGAUAAGAACCUAGCUGUUAGCAGUAGGAACUAGAAAUUAUUUGGGCCAAAGUAGUGACAAGUACAUCUCACAUACUUAUAAGAGGGCUGCUUUUAACAGAUUGGCUUGCUAGGUCCACCAAGCUCGGUAAGUUAGAGCAGAAUUUGCCUAGAGAUUUUGUUAAACCACAAAGUUACACCAAGUAAAGAUCUCCGACUCUGAAGAAGUUGAUGCACAUGCAAGGAAUUAUAGCAUAUAAAGUAGGUGAAUGAAAAGUAUAUCAUAGUAUUUACCAAUAUAUAUAUAUAUAUAAUAGUGAUAUAAGGACUACAUGAAAGAAUCUACUAGAUUAGUUGGUUACACUACAGCAAGGUCAUGCAAAUUUCUUGUUUCUUUUCAUCAAAUUCGUAGUGGCAAGUGUCAAGACUACAUUGCUAUUUAGCAAAUCAUCUAAUAUAAUAUCUUUUUCCCCCUUAAAACCUUUUUUCACCAAUCCAAAAAUAUAAAAUAUGCAGAUGUCAAAAUUCAGAGACAAGCUUUACAUGAUAGCAGUUAAACUAUGUAGCAGGCUGGCAGGCCUGCCUAAAGGCAACUCUGUGCCUCCUCUUCAACAUCUUACAUGAAGAUACCAUAUCAGGCAUAAUAAACUAAUUCUUCUCGACAUGGACAAGAGGGAUCAAAAGAAUAACAAAUUCUUCUUGAUUUGGACAAGAGGGAUCAAAAGAAUAACAAAUUCUUCUUGACAUGGACAAGAGGGAUCAAAAGAAUAAUUAUGUUCCGAACGUAAAAAGCAAAUGAACUGAUUUGGAGUAAAAAAAUAGGGAAAGGUCUAAGACUCACUUUUCUUUUACCGAGACAAUUCACAACAUAACACUCACAUGGCCAACCUGGAUAUUACAAGGACACCAACCUGAGAACAGCUGAUCUUUUCUCCUCCAGCAAUUUACACAGCUCGACCUUCAACCAUGUCACCUAGACAAAAAUUGCAUAUCAUCUAAAUUUCAACAGAAGUAUAAUGAAAACAAUGGAAGGGAGAACUAUUCAAGCAUUUAGACCUUUUCAAGAAUGAUUAACCAAUAGAUGUGUUUCAUGUUUCCUCAUCAGAAAACUAUGUGUUCAUGAUAUUCGAAGAAAACAGAUCUACCUAUAUUAUAUCUCAGCAUUAAAUAAAGCAGUAGUUCAGUAAUUCAUAUUGAUGCUAACAUAUCACCUUUCAAAUUGGAAAGAUGUGCCCUCAUUCUUUAGAUUUACAGAACAUUGAACCAACUGCAAACAAGUUCAUUACUAGCUAGCAUCCAUGAAGAAAGAUAUCUACAUGACCAUCUGAAAAUUCAUGGUCUGUAUUGUCGAUGUCCAAUAACUGGGAGAAGGCUUGUUGAUUAAUGUUUACAGUGUAUAGAUUCAACUGUUGAACUGUUUGCAAGAAUAUGGAAGCAGGAAUUCUUAUAUGCAACUUGAUUAUCUCCUCUUACUUGCAAUAGCAAUAUCUGGCAUGAUUAUCAACUCUUGCAAUAAUAAUCGGCAUGCUAGAGGCUUUCAAUGUCUUGUCCUCCUCGAAUAUAUCACAGAUGCAACAGAUUUUAUUUUGGUAAGAUGGCUAUAUUAAAACAGCCCUAGUGUAAGUACAACCACUUGAAUCCAAAACCAAAAAUGUCAUGAAAUUGCCCAGGAGCAGAGGAAACAGAAUCCCGAAGCACAAGCCCCAUAUGAUUGGCAAUGUGAGAAGCUACCCAAUCUACGGCACUGUUUGCCUCUCUGUAGUCAUGAUUGGCUUCAAAAGAAGUGAGGGAAGAAGUAAACCUCCAGACAUCCAAAAGAAAUGGAUGAUCACCUUCAAUCUGAUUUACCUUAUUUGUUAUCCAAGUAAUCAAUGUUUACAAAUCCCCCUUCAAAAACUAUGUUAGUCGCCUUCAGCAUUGAAGUAUCAUGUAUUAGACCUUCCCAUGCCCCACUCAGCUCAGCCAAAGGGACUCUGAUAUCAUAAAGACAAGUUCCACCCGCAGCCACAAAGGACAUAGAAAAGUUUCAAACCGCAAAACCAGCACCAUCAUUUCGAUGUAAAAGAUAAAGGAAACUUAAACAAUUGUAACCAGGCAGCCAUCAAUGUUCCAAAAGACAAGCAUAGUUCUUUCCUUCUUCGAAAUCCAAGGCUGUAUUUUCAACUACUAUCCUAGUGCCAGCAGACUUACUAUCCCCAGUACCACUCCCUACCCAGUAAUACCUUUCUGCUUCUUCAAUUGUUUUUGGCCCCUGCCACCUCAGCUUGAAGUCUGAACACAUCACAAUCUAUUUUUCUCUAAGUGUUUCUUCCAUUUUGCUGUUGAAGAAGAGUAUUUGAGUAUCAGAGGAGCAAUAUUCUGUCAAAUGGUAGAAGCAUUUGUCAUAUUUGAAACAAUGGGGCACGUGCAUGUCACCUUUAGGUGGUUUCUUACACAAAUUUUGAGAGUAUAGUUGCUAAUUGAAAGCAAUAAUUGAUUCAUACCAGACCCAGAGUCCAAAUUCUGGAUAUUGAUGAAAAGAAGAGAGGCAUCGAGAAUACAAUAUUGCUGCAUCCAAGUAGGUUGAAUGCAACCCAAUAGUGAUAGAGUGGUACAACAUUUUGUGCACUAAGAUCUUCCAGAUAUAACUCUCAUAGCUCAUUUUCUGUUAGAUAUAAUUUAUUCAGUUGUUUUGCUGAUAUAUUCAAACCAACAAGUAACCACGGCAAUAACUAGGAAUGAUGAUCAGUUCUUUCUAUACGUUAUUCAGCAUCAAGGCACUUCAGUAUACUGAAUAAUUAAGAUUUUAAGUAUAGAAUUGCUCCUCAACCAUAUCAUACCAAUUGUAGUUUAGAAAAAUUAGACCACUAAAUCAAUUUUAGCUUUGAAAAGUUUUCGUUUUUUAUGUUUUAAUACAUUUUACCUAAUUGAGUUACAUCCCACCAGUGAUGCAUCAGGCAGUUGAAGGAAGCAUGUUGGGCAGUGUCAUAAGUGAUAUAUCUAUAACACACCAGUCAUUUUAUAUUCUUCUCUGAAAGGAACUAUAGAAAUAACUUUGGUUUAAGAAAUAAAAACUUACCUGUUCUUUAAGAUCAGGUAAGGAAUCUGGCUCUGAAUCAACUGUUAGACUAUUCGAAUAUCCUUCUAUAUCUGUCGAUCCAGACUUCAAGGUAUGCAAAUCCCCAUUGGUUUGCGUAUCACCUAACACCUCUGCUGAGUUGGUUUCUGUAAGUGUCGAUCCUCGGUCAUGUUUGAAACUAUAUAACUUAGAUGCUAGGCCCUUAGAGUCCUUCCAUGAAUUAAGUCCUCUGGAUCUUUCCUCCAUGGCAGCUAUCACUGCAGGCCUAUGUUUUUUCCUCAGCUCUUUCAAUAUUGUUUCAUCUACAGCUUGAUAACCCAUGCAAGCUGUCAAGACAAGCUGGCUACUGUCAAAGGUAGAGCCAGCAAGGGACUGCAGUAGUGUAACAGCAUCUCCAGCAUCUUUUGUAGUCACGACUGCAGGACCUACAGAUUGACAUGUGAUUUUUUAAAGAAAAUUAUUAUGCUACAGUACUAAAGAAUGAACAAAAUACAGAAAUUAAAAGGAAUUUUAUUAAAUGAGAUCAUAAACUAAAAUAGGUUUGCCCCGUACCAUAUAAUUCCAUCAAAGCAAGUGCUGCUCGAAAUAACAUUACACGAUUUCCAUCAAAGAGAAGCACAUCCCAUAUACGAAGAACUGAAAUUAUAAACACCAUCACAUAUAAGAGAUCUUUAUCUAUGGAUACUAUAGCAUUAAAUUUUGCAAUGUAUCAAGGUGCAAGUAUCAAUUGAUGAGUUCCCAAAAGAAAAGGAACAUAUGAUACCAUUUAAUUUAGUAAAUGUAGUCAAUGUCUUGAUGGAUAUGGUAAUAAGACAUAAAUAAAACCUGACCACUUUCCCAUGGAAGCAUAUUCAUGAAAAUGGAAAGGAACCAAGGUCCAGUGACCCAUGCCACCUGCACGCCCAGAUAAUCCAAAUGAUGAACUGCAAAACAGAAGCAUACAAAAUGUGGAGUUAAAUAGGUUUGCCAAAGAGUGUGGGUGCAUGCAUAUAUAUGUACAACAAUACACAUAUACAGACAAUGAAAUACAGACCCAAUUUUGGAAAUUUCUCAUGCACUAGCUCCUCAAGAACAAGCUGGUCCACCUGAUGCAAAAAAGAAAAUAAAUAGAAACUAAGAUGUGCAACAUUAGUGAUCAGCAAUAUUAAUCCAUAGAUUGCUUCUCUUACAAGGCCUCCUUAAUUUCAGAUAGAUAUGCACAGGAAAGAGUAAAAGUGGUUGCUAGAAAGAUCCUACAAAUAAAUUGAUUACCUGAGAUUCAAUCAUUUCCUCAGAAUAGUAGCCAUCAAAGUAGUCAUCGAUGAUACCCAAUAAAGUCCUGUUGAAUUUUGCAAUGACUUAGAAAAGCAAUGCAACUGGCAACAUAUACUAGAAUAAAUAUGUUUGCUUGAUCAAAAAAGUCGAGUUUCAUGAUCAGCAAUCAUGAAACUUUUUUCUUUUGCCAACUCAGAUUUGGAACUAAUCAUGCUAACCUACCAAAAUGCAUUUUCCUCAGGCAUCAACAAUAGUAACAGGCCCCCAAAGAAAUUCAUAGCCUACACAGACAAUAUUUAGCACAAUUUCAUCAUAUGGAGAAUAGGGCAUAUAACUGGAAAUUCAAUCUAGGAACUAAUAAUAAAGAAUAAAAAUUCUUAACUCAAACACAAAUAAAAAUAUGGAAUACUAACAGGAAAAUCAAUAUGAUAAAUAAAGCUUUAGCUCUGAGGGGAAACAUAUAAUAAAUCGUAGGUAAAAAUAAAUCAUAAAUUUUCUUUGGUAAAAGCAGUGUCCUUAGACUUCCAGCAUAAUGUAAAGUAACAUCACUGCACAUAUAAUUUACCAGAAAUCUAGCAACCAAAGUGGGACUGCCUGUGUAUUUUGGCGAAAAGAAAAAAAGAGGGGGGGGGGAGUACAUGUUUGUCAAAUUUUAUGGAAACCCGAAACCCAUAAGGAUUUUGAUUGGUACACCGAAACCAUGUAAAAAAUGAUAUUCCAAAAUUAGCCAAAGCCUCAAAUUUUUAGGUAGAGUGGUUAAAACAUGAUAUUUUUAAGCCUUUUCUUUGGCUGGAGGUCAUUGAUGCAGUCCAUAUACCAACUCACAUGAAGAUCUGUAAUGAUUCAAAUCCUGUGGGCCGUCCUGGUUUUUUCAUGGAACAGGACAUGCUGCUGUCCCGCACUCUCCAGAAACUUGGGACAUUGGAUUUCCUGGGAUGUGCCGAACAGGAUGCUGGAACCACAAUGGGACGGUCCCAUCCCAACGCUUGAGACGGUGCCCUGUCCCAACAUCCCACAAAGACUUGAAUACUUGCUGAGGAGUCCAUGAAAUAUGUGAAAAUAAAGUAAGAUAAAUAGUAGUGCAGUAAUUAAAUUCUGAAAACCAUCUCCCAAAAUAAAUAGUAAUAAGAAAGGCACGUUAAUACACAUUGUCUGAUAAUAUAGAUACUUAAAAUACAACUUUAUUGUAUGGCUUAUGUUUAAAGUAAGCUCUAGACCAGCCCCAAUAAAAGGCUCAUCUUACAGAAAUUAACAAAGCUGGACCUCAUCUAAGUAGCCAGGCCUCACCAACUAUUAUGCCACAUAUCACCCCAAGAUCUGCUCUAUAAUUAGAUAUUUUCAUUUCGCAUGGCUCACCUUCGAGUUUCUGCUAAGCUUUUGUACUCAAUUUUUUUUUCAGACCCAUAAAGUCACAAGUUAAAAAUUUUACAAGCAUUCGAUACUUAUAAAUCACAAGCAGCAUCUUUGUAGAGAAUAAACAAAAGAAUAAGAAAUUGACUGCUCAUCUUGAUCAUAAGAGGAGAAAAAAAAGGAAGCUAGCUUGUGUUUAGUAACAGGACAAUUGGAGGAAAGAAAACAAGAUAUUAAGCUAGCUUGUGUUUAGUAACAGGACAAUUGGAGGAAAGAAAACAAGAUAUUCAAAUCCCCAUUCUUAUAGGAACUUACUUCCUAUUAAGAGCAAUUGGAGGAACUUACUUCCACAAGUCUUUGUAAUAUUAGGGCGAUUACUUUUCAGAUCAACUGAGAAAUCAAAUCCCCAUUCUUAUUGUGCUUUAUUAAGGACUGAUAAUUGGAAAAGGAGAAAGAGAUGAGCAAAGAAGAGGACUCUUUUGAUUUACUACCACAAAGAAAGCAUACAAGGUGAAGGAGAAUGCUGUUCCUGGAAUAAUAUAAUCAUCUCACUGAAUCCUAACCCUAUCAAGUCUACUAGGCUUAAUUUCAAAUCAAGAAAGAAAAUACCACAUAAUAAUUGUUUUGCAUCUGAUAAUGACUGAUGCAGUUCACAAUCCACAUAUAUUAUCACACAUAAUGUAAUCAAGGAAUGAACAAAACGAACCAUGCUGGCCUCCUCACAGUUCUAACACACCUGAUGUCCCGUGAACCAGCCAUUUCAACAUUUUUUUCUUUUUUUUUAGAGAAAGAGGGUGGUAUAACCGCCCAUAUUAUUAAAACUAUUGCAGGCAAAGCCAGGUUACAAAGUAAAUAAAAAGUUAUAGGAAAAGCUAAUAAGAAAGGAGGCCGAAGAGGCCAAAACCCCCAACUAGAAGUGAGCUAAUUUAAGAGUGGAUUCAGAACAAUCGAAGCUGGGCUGAGUUUUAUCAUUGAAACAAAGUAACCAACAUUUAUUCCUUUUUGAUUAGUCAUUCAGCCAUUACUGCUGGCCAUGGCAUUCAAAACCAUGAGCAGACACGAGAGUGAGUGCACAAACAAGGUUGAAUGUGAGUGAGGAUACUAUUAAGAUGGACACCAUAACUGCCAAAUUGAUGCUUUAUAGGUACAAUGCCAUGACCUCAAAUUACUCUACUUACAUGCAAAACUUUUGCAGAGGCACCACACCUGAAGAUACAUUUAGAAGUCUUAUGGUUAUGUAUAGUUAUACCAUUAGAAGCAGAAUUAUAGUGUAGUCACAAAUGGGUAUUUGAUUAAAUGUGACUCAUGUAAAUUUCCAUAUUAUAGCCAGAUGUCCAAAUAUUCCAUGACAUAUGGGGGCUGAAGCCACACUGGACCACACAUUAUGAGAUGUCCACUACUCCACACUCACAUGCAGGUGAGCUCAUCACCAUCCUUCCCUAUGCUCCCAUUUCUCUUUCCUUUGCCAUCUGCAUCCACUUCUAUCUUCUUCUUUUUUUUCAAACCAACCUAACCCUAACCAUGGUCCGAGUCUGAACAAUUUCACUUUCCUCAAACAGGUAAAGUGGUUGUCCUCAAAAUAAGAGGGUGGGGGGGGGGGGGGGUGUUGUAGCUUCCAAAGAUCAUGUACCAAUCCAUCUUUUGGGUUAUAAAGUCCAUAGAUUUGUUUCGCCAUAAAAAGGACAGCAUACAAAUGCCAGCUUCCUUUUCUUUUCCUCCGGUGUAUACCUUAAAUUCAUUUCUAUUUUAUUUUUUUUCUGUUAAAACAAUGGAUUUAGAGCUCCACUUUCUAUACCAGGUAAUUUCUUUGCAUUAAUCAAUGUAUUGAUUUGAAAAGUACUAUAGCCUAUGUUCAUGAAUACAAAACAAUCUAGAUUCCUAACAAAGGCUAGUUAUUCUUUUGCUCUUAUAAUCAAUAAAAUCUUGGCAUCUUCACGUGCAAACUUGUAGGAUAAUUAUUUUUCAGAAUAACACACCAUAUCAUUCUUGAAUGCUGCAAAGCUUUUGACAACACCUCACUGUACAGACAUGGAUUGUUCAUGAGAGCACACCCUAGCAAUGAAAAGUACUGACAAACGCACACAAAGAAGUGUGAGAAUUGCUUCUUCAAUUUUAACAUGUCCAGCUGUUCGAUAAAAUUUUGAGGAAAUAUAUGUCCUUUUUCAAUCACGUCAUUCAUGAUCUUCUUCAACAGAUGGCAGUUAACAUCAUAAAAUGCAUGAAUAUGGAGUAUCAGAUUCCAUCAAAUGAAAAAGCUUCAUAUCUUCACCAGAUAUAAAAAGUGACUACAAUACAUAUAGAAGACAAGAAGAACUACUACAGAGUCCAGUCUUGAGUACCUGGCAGUAACCAACUGAUGGAUUAUGGCGAGCAUAUGCUGUAAGCAAACGCCUCAGUGCAUUUCUCCCAUCGUCAUCUAAAGCGGGAUGCCCUGGAAAUGUUCGAGGCAAAUCCUGUAAAGAGAGCAUACAAGCCAUGCAGAUGAGAAUCAUUCAUUUUGUAGUAAUUUCAACAGCCCAGGCUUCUAUGAGAUAACAAAGGAUGGACUUUGGACUUCAUAAUCCUUUAAUCUAAUGACCUUCUCAAUCUGUGUCUUGCAUUUCUCAGGCACACAUCCUCCCCGAGGUCUUUUUGGCAUGCUAAGAGCGUCAUUUGGAAGUGAGGCAUCAGAUUCAGCAGUGUCAGUGUGUGGAGCUAGCAAGUCAUUAUAGUAUCCCUCCACCCUCCGUGCCGUCACACCCACAAAAGCUUGCCAUAGCUGCGAUUAGAGUGGAAGAUAGAUUGAGAUAAGACAAGCACCAGAUUACUGAUCAUGAGUGCAAUAGUACAGUAAUGACUGCACCUCUGCUCUGAGAGCCAUUGGCACUCCUCCGCGAACAAGGCACUCCAGCUCUUCUUUCCAAGGAGAGAAAGGCUCCUGCUUUGCUGCUGAAUCAGCAUUCCCACCGUCACCUGAAGCCGCCUCCUCCUGGACCGCAUCCGAUCUCUCCACAUCAUAGAACUCUUCCUCAGACUCUUCUUCCUUAGAAUGUCUUGCCACCUCUUCAAUUGGUGCGAGGCAAUUCCCAGUUCUCCCAGAUUCCCGUUCACUGCAGGAUAGGCUCCUCCUCUUCUUCACCCGAUGACUCAUCAACCGUUCGAUGGCAGCGAGAGAUGGUCUUAUCUGGCUCCAUGUAUGGGUUCUAUGGAUUUUCGCCUUUCCUUUCUCAACCGGUUCCUUCUGUGCACCAACUUCCUCGUGUCCAUCACAUUUGUCAAGUCCGCGCUGAUCACAGUCAUUUCCUGAGUCGUUUGGCGUGUCCGAAACAAUAUCUUCUGCCGAUGGGUCGUUGGACGACACCUGCGCGGACUCGGCCAGGCUCUGGAGGAAGUUCUUCCACCGAUCCGAUCGCUCUUCUUCUUCCUCCUGGAACCAUUAUGAGAUCAAGAAUCUAAGCAAUAUCUUGAUAUAUAAUUUUUACGGAGUCAAAUAUAUAUAUAUAUAUUGGAUGGAUUGCCUUGUAGAUUUUUGCAUAUUCCCGGUAUCUCUGCAAGUGUUGAGGCCGCACGGCAAACCCAUAGGCGUCCCUGCUCAGAUAUCAUACCGUCAAUUGGAAAAAUUAUAUAGAAAUCGGUCCCUUGAAACUGAAGAACUUAAGAAUCAAGAAUCAAUAAACCUAAAAAAAAUAUUGACAAAUCGAUAAAAAAAAAAAUCUAAUCUUUACCUAGACUCAACGUCCAUUAAAGACAAAUCAAUCAAAACACCAUAGCAGAACUCCGAUUAGAUCGUCCAUCGCACUAGCUCUCGAAGGACGCAUUUGCCACCACAGGUAAAACCGCCCUAGAAUCCGUAAAGAUCCCUAAUUUAACCUACUGCCGCGACAGUCGAACUGAAACCUAUCUCCUCGAACGCGUACACCACUAAAUCUCGGGGGUACUGAGGCUCUAUAUAAAUAAAGAAAUGCAAGAUCGCAGGCCGCAUUUGCCCGAAUUAUAAUUACGCAAUGCAAGGAAAAAUGGGGAAAAAAAGAGCACUAAGAAGGAAAGAGAAGGGAAGAACACGGAAAGAGAUAUAAGGUACGGGGAGAAAAGAAAUCCGCUAUCAUCUCGGCGGGAGAACAAACGACACGUGGAGAGAAGGGGCCGAUCACUCACCGCUUCUGCUCUAAAGAGAUGACGGGGAGGCUCUUCCCCCUCAUCGCGCGCUCGCAAUAUUGCCGGCGGAGCCGUGAUGAUCUUGAGGAGGCGCUGCUCCUGCCGCUGGCCGCCGCCGCGUCUCGCUUUUAGAUUUCUUUUAUUACUCCGAUUCAAGAACUGCCAGGUUCAGCGUGACAGUGAGUUGGAGAGGAGAUUAGGGAGGAUUCUUGGGAUGAACAAAUUUUUCUUGCACCAAAAAGAGGGGGCAGGCCAGAGGAGGACGCGGGUCGAGGAAUUUUGGGAAUGCUGAGAGACGGGAAAAUUGUGUGCGAAUUUCUAGUUGCUAACGCCAAACGUGAACCAGCGGGAGCUUGAAGCCUGGUUUCAGGGCUUUUGGGGGCAGGCAACUCUCUUUCGGAGCGCACCAUUGGAGCUUGGUGCCCGUUUUGAGAUGCUCUAACGGUUAAAUGUCUUUGGCUGAUGGCAAUGGCAGGGGUUCGUCUCGAUAUGAAAUUAUCAUCAAUCACAGCCGCUGAUUUCUAUAACAGUACAUCGAGAUGCAUGCUUGAUAAAUCGGAUCCACGUAAAUCAGCGGCUAUUAUUGGCUGUCUUCGUGGGGCCGAGCUGCAUGCAUUAGAGGCGAUGAUUUCUCCCUAAAUGGAGGCAUUCCGACAUGAGCUGAUUUAGAAUCACGGCUUGCAUCGUUUAUCAGACGGUGGAGGCUUGCUCACCUCAGAAACAAUCUUAUUGUGACCUUGUUAUGGUACCAUGCUCCUUUGCUAAUAUAGAUGUUUUGAGAAGUGGAUUGCUGCAUCUUUUCUUUAUGGUAGAAAUUGAACAUGAGUCAUUCAAUAAGUUUCCAUGCAUCAUCGUGAGAUUCAAAUUAGCCGUUUUAGCUUAAAAGAUUCCUUUCAUGUAUAUUUCUGACCAUCGUUAAAAUUUAUUAUUAAUUAUAAAAUAUAUAUCCAAUUAUAUUGGUAUUAGCUUGCUUGGUCAUUAUUAAUAUUUAUUAUUUAAUAUACAACAAAAUUUAACUAUUAAAAUUUUUUAUUUAUCAAAAUUUGCUAUAUUUGCCAUAUUGCCUUUUAAAGAUAAUUUAAAAAUGGGGAAAAAAUUUAUACCUUCAAUGCAUCGUACAAAGUCAAUAGUAAUAAUGUUGGUAUUAAUGAUGAGACUAGGUAAGUUUUGUGCAAAAUUUUUUUAUUCACCAUGCACAUACCGAUAUUAAUAACAUUGAUAUUAAUGAUAAAAGUUUUAAUUUGGUCAUAAUUAAAAUUUAUUGCUUAAUGUACAAUAGAAAUUUGGUAAUUGAAGUCUUCUACUAGUAUAAAUUUUAUAUUACUAUAUUUUAUUUCAAAAAAGUUGAAAAAGAGAAAUAUAUAUUUCGUUGUAUGGUUUAUUUGCUGGUAUAAUUUGAAAAUGAUGUCAGGAUAUAAAAAAUAUCUAUAAGAAAUUGAAUUAGUAUUGGCAAGAGGGAAAAAAAAAGAAGGAGAUUUUAGAUAAGUACACAAAAGCAAAAAUAAAGAUGUUUUAAGAUAUGCAUAUGAAAAUAUUGCUCAGCAUCAAAGAGAGGCUUCAGAAGACAACGGAAUCACGGCAGGCGGGAGGAAAUUAUAGCCAUUAAACAAAAAAUUAUAGAUUAUACCAAUUGUGUUACAAUAAAAUAAAAAAAAGGGUUACAAAAAAUUUCAAAAGGAUAAACAAUUAUCCUUUUGAAGAUAUUUUAUUAGAAAAAUAUAUUUUAAAAAUCAUCUAAGUCAUUGAAACAGUAGUGUUCUCAACAAUAUUGAUAAUAAAUUUAUUAUAUUAUGAUUUUUAUGUCCGCAUCACCAUUGCACCAUUGAAUCAUUGGAAUAGUAGUGUUCUUAAUAUUAAGAUCUGCAUAUUUUAAGGCUACAAAAGCAGCACGAGCCGACUAAAUAAUAUGAUAUGUCUGUCUUCAUCACCAUUGCACCAAUCAAAUCAUGUAAUUUUGUAUGUUUCAUAUUAAACAAUACCAUUGUGGUCUAACAAAUAACAAAAAAUACUUUGGCUAAUCAUAAAAAUGAAGUCAUGGGGGGAAUCUCUUGGCAAAAAACAUUAUAAGGGGUGCAUAAUUUAUCAUGAUGCAAGUAUGCUAUAAGACCCUAUCUCAACUAAAUUUCAUCUUUAGUAAACACUACCGUAAGAUUCAUCACUGACUGAUCUAGUACUAAUAAUACUUUUAUUUUGGUGAGCACAAGAUGUCACUGAGAUUUGCAGCGAAGUACGCCCGAGUGCAGGCGGCGGAGAUCAGUCACACUUUUUCUUCUUAUGGACAUUUGACAGCUCGGGAUAUCUAGGGUUCCCAUUCUGCUCAGGCAGCUUCUCAUAUGGUAUUCUUCACCUAAGAGCCCCUACUUUCGAGUUUCCUCAAGGUCAACUUCGACAGAUCUGUUUUAGACAGAGGCAUGAGGAAAGGUGCGGAUUUUGUCAUACGAGAUUCAUACUCCAGGGUGGUGGCAGCGGGCGGCUGCCAGUUAUUUGACACUUCGAUUCUUGAGACAGAGUUGAGAGCUACCAGGGCGGGUCUUCGACAUGCGCGGCGAGUGCUACAGGCCAGCUCAGUUAUCCUAUAGGGUGACUCGACCACGGUGAUCAGUUGGAUAUAGGAGGUCCGAGGGAUGUGAGCUCGAACCACCCUUUGCUUUGGAACAUCUGAAUAAUGACAAAGAGUGGUGGGGUUUUUUAGGCUAAGUAUAUUUAUAGAGAGGCCAACGGAGUUGCGGAUUGAGUAGCCGCUUAUGUGGCUAACCAUUUAGGAAGCAUAUGUGGCUAACCAUUUAGGAAGCACUUUAUGAGCAGGAGAGGGGGAGUUGCCUUGGAUACUCUGUGAGCUUUUGUUUUCUAAUUUUAUUGAGUGUAUUGGUACACGUAUUGUAUAAGGAACCCACCAAAGUCAAAAAAAAAAAAAUAACUAAUAACACGAACCUAGUCCCGUUCUCCAUAAGCACUGGUAAAAUAAUAAAUAAAUUUAAAGUAAAUAUGAGCCAUCUAUUUUUUGUUUUUUUGUUGCAUGCAUCAUGUGGUCAUAUACAUUAUCAAUCAUAAUUAUUUAUUUUUAUUAAUUUUAUUCAUCAAUCACCAAGGAUGCAUCUUGUUGCAUUGCUAUAGUGCGGCAGUGUAGAGUAUAAUUCGAAGGAUUCACCUUUCUUGGCGCCAAUCCACAGUCGGAUCACUCACCGCACAGCUCUCAAAGCAUUCCAAUCGCCAUCAUUCGUCCGCUUGCAUUUAGUUCUCAACGCGGCCAGCGGGUGAUCCAACGGUGGAUUCGAGCUAAGGAAUGAAUGCGAAUCCUUCUGUCGCGCGAAAGAUACAGCCCCGUCCGCGUCUCGUCUCAACUUCUUCUCGCUUCUCCAGAACGGAACCUCCACCCCUUCUCUCCCGCCGGCGUAGAUGCAAGAAAGCCCAAGCGAGGCAAAGGAUCACCAUUCUAACCCUACUCAUAUCCCCAGAUAUAGACACCAGCCUCGAAUGAAAUCCAAAUCCGAACCCCCUCCUUUCCAAAUCCAUGCAUCCAUCACUCCCUGCCGCGAGACUCCUUAAAGGCCGUCGCCCCCCUUCCCCUCCUUUCGCCAUCACCCUCCCUCCUUUAUUUGUCGAAAGCAGCAGCAGAAGAGGCCCACGCCCCCGGUCACCCGCCCCCACGGAUUCGCGCGCCCAAACAAGAGGUCGAGCAUCACGAGGAGGAGCGUCUUCGUCGCCCUAACGGGGAGAGGAGCGAAGGGCGUGGCUUCGCGGUCUGCGAGCGAGGGUGGCUGGUGGUGGAUGAGGUCCGGAUCCGGGCGCGGGCCGCUCGCCUCCGGGGAGGGCUCGCUGGGCGUGAGAAAGUGGGCGGCUGAUGGUCCGGACCGAGGAAGCGGCGGUGAGGGCAAGGCGACCCAAGGCUACGUGAUAGGUCCCAUUUAUCAGCACUAGAAUGGUGGAGGAGAGGUGGGGAUUAACGGGAGUUAUAGGUAGGAAGAGCAGCAAGGUUCGCCUAGAUUGCUGACGCUGCCCACCGUUCUCACAAUUGGUCGGGUUGCUGCCGUUCCUCUUCUCGUAAGCAGUACGUCUACUCUCUCUCUCUCNNNNNNNNNNNNNNNNNNNNCUCUCUCUCUCUCUCUCUCUCUCUCUCUCUCUCUCUCUCUCUCUCUCUCUCUCUCUUCUUUCGUUUAAUCUCUCGACAUCUAUUCACGUUUUUUUUUUCGAUGUUUGGUCGUAUGGUUGCUGUUCACAACAAAAGAUUGGACCUUGAUGUGCAUUGUUUUUCAUGUCUUAUUGGUCCGGAUUCACAAAAAAAAGAUGGGAUUUUGACGUGUCAUGAUGUUUUUUUUUUUCUCUUGCAGAAUUCAUUGCAUUUAACUUAAGCUGGCUGGCAAUGCUUGGUUUCUGAUUUUCUUCUAGGGGUCUUGGUUUAGGCUAUGAUUCAUGUUUCUCUCCCCCGGUAUUCUUUUUUUCAUUCUGCAAACUCUGAACAUUAAAACAAGGAGGCAAUACUAAUUUAUUUAUUUGUAAACCUAAUACGUGAUUCAGAUAUGCUUUCUUUCAUAAAAAGGUAGGAUUUUUCUUAACGUAAGACUAAUAUAUUAGAAAUCGCCUCCUUCAAGCAUGGUUGUUGGCUUUGGAAUUUUAAAAAGAAGUUUCUAAUGAUCAUUGAUCCUUUCUUUAGGGGAGAGGGGAAAGAUGGGUUUUCAUUGCAAUUGGUCAUUGCACACCAGAGUGAAAAAGAGAUCUAGUCCUGGGAUUUGAAGAUAUUAUCUUAGCUAGAAUUUAGGCACAACCAUUUUAUUUCACAAGUUUCUGCAUCUCAACCUCUGUUUAGAUAAUGUAACCAAUACAAUACAGCCAUCCAUACUAUUAACUUAGCUAGAAUUUAGGCACAACCAUUUUAUUUCACAAGUUUCUCCAUCUCAACCUCUGUGUAGAUAAUGUAACCAACACAAUACAACCAUUCAUAGUAAUGCCAUUGCCAUGACGUGUAGGAUUUGCGUUACAAGGGUUCAUAUGAAGCAUGAGAUUAGAAAUUUUGGCUUGGAUGAGACAGGAAAAAAUUUGGCUUAUGGGAGCUUAUGUUUGCAUCUUUAAAUAAGAAGAGAAUCAAGAGAUAUAUAACUAGGAUCCUCGGUCUGCAAAUGCUGAAAAUCAAGACUGAAAUCUGGUCUCAAACCUGACUCUGACUAUAGUUGAGUUUGAAUCCUCCAAUCCUUAUCACCAUGUAGUUUUUUUUUCCCAUCCUUUUCCAGUUUGGAUGGUUGCACAGUUCCAUGGCAUUUAAAGUCUGCACAUGUAAAAUCUGGUUGAAACUUUGACAUGUGAUCCUCAAAGGUCAGGCUUAUUGGUUGUAGUCCAUUUAUGGAGGGGUGAAAUGGAACCUGACAUGUUGAUUCUAGGAGUAUACUUUAUUGGUCAUGGACCAGGUAUACAUUCCAGAAUGUGUAGUUCUGUUUUUAUAAGUAUCUGUUGUAUGUAUGCAUGUACCCUCUUUCUACUGCUAUGAUGCAUGGGAGAUUUUCUUUCCAUUGUAUGCAGGUAUUGCAUUUGAAGAGAUUAAUGUCUUCGUUUUCUCUCACUAGCCUUCUACAUGAAUGGUUGGUGGGCAACAACUGCUACAACAAGCAUAUUUAUUGCUGCAGCUGUCACAGACUGGCUAGAUGGUUAUAUUGCUCGAAAGAUUUGUUUCCUGUAUCACUUGAAGGAUCCCACGUAUAGGUUGUUAGCCCAGUUUAUCUGCUUUAUGCUUUGGCUUCCGUAACAAUUUUCUGUUCAUCGGAUGUGGUUAGGAACGACUUUUGGUGCAUUUUUGGAUGACGUAGCUGAUAAGGUUUUACCUUUUCUUCUGUGCCUUCUUUUGCUUCUACUAUCAUAAUUGAAUCUUUGAUGGUUUGCAUUUUACAGGUCAAUUAGGCAGAUGAUAUUAUAUUUCUUUUUUUAUUUUUAUUUUUUCAGUGACAGUUUAGGAUUCCUUCUUUUUUUUGCUCGUUGAGUGCAGCUUAUAGUUGCUUCUACACUAGUAUUAUACUAUUAUCAUGUACCAGACCUUUGAAAGUUGCUGCAUUUCGAGUCGUACCUUGGCUUCUCACGGUACCUUCAAUUGCCAUUAUUUGUAGAGAGGUGAUCAUCAAUUUAUAAGUUCAUUUCUUGUACUUUUCUGAAUUCCAGGUUCAUUGGUAACUUCAUUUCUUCACCUUGAUGUUGUACUAUCUGUAAAUAGUCCAUGCUAUUCUGCCAAAUUCACCAUAUUGUUAUUCAUAGUGGGAUUGAUAUGGAUACGUGAUAUUCAAAUGACACCAUAUUGUUAUUUAAAAUGGGAUUGAUAUGGAUUUCUGGUUUUAAAAUGCUUACUGUUAAUGACUUUAUAUGUAUGUUUUCCUACCUAAUUGUAGCUGACUUAUGGAAUCUGAUGGCUUAAGAACAUUCUAUGAAAGAAAUGCAAUUAUACAGUUGGGAAUGUUAAGCAGUAAAUUUUGAAUAUAAGUUCAACUCAACCAACACUUAUCAUAACAAAUAUGGGUUCUAAAAGUUCCAUAAAAGAGUGUAUUAGAUUUUUGCUAAUUUGUUUUUCUUAUAGUUUGCACCAAAAAGAAAAUCUGCAAUAAGAUGUUCAUAGGCCUACACUCAUUAAGUUUAUUUGUAUCAUCCCACUUGACACCCCACCCCGGUAUGCGUGCAAAAUUGUGGAAUUGUAGUACAAGUUUUGUGGGGAAAAUAGCCUCUUUUAGCAAAGUACUGCUUUUUGAAAAUGGACCUUUCUGCACCUCUGUUGAAUGGAGCCCUGCCAAGGUAAAUGUUUUUUUAUUGGAUUGAGUACAGAUGAGCCAAUCAUGUAAUAUAGAACUACUUUCUGAUCCCAUGACAAUAUCAUCAUCAAAAAGAGGAAUAACAGCAACAAAUCAUGAAUUCUAUCAUAUAUAUACUCAACGAGUGGAAUGAAGCUAAAUAUCCUUGUUUCAGUUCAAUGAAAUUUUUGCUUCAAAAAGCAAUAAUGUUGUUGUUAGAGUUCUCGCUGAAGCCAGACAGGCAGCUUGCUCUUUGAAAACUAAAUAGGAUUUUAUUGAGUACCUGACAUUACUCUAACUUAUGCUUAUAACAUUUUUGUACGCACAGUCAAUGAAUAUUUCUCCCCAAUAUGCACCAUAAAACUAUGUGGUAUUGUGCCUCCUGCCUACUGUAUAUCAGUGAAAGAUCUGCGCAGUCUCCUCUUUUUGGCUCUAGAUGAUUUCAACAACUGCCCGAGCAGGAAAAAAACUUUGGUGUCAGCUUUAACCUUUCUUCACCUUUUAAAAUUCCAGAGCUUCAUAGUCUAUUUCUAGUUUUAAUUCUCAUCUGUGUGAUAACAUGCAUAUUUUCUCCACUUACAGACUGUUACGGUUGUUACAUUCUUCUGUUUGUAUAAUACUAUGGUGAUAUCUAGGAUUUCAUUGAGGAGAUGAGAUGACCACAUUGAACCAAUACCUUCACAAUUCUUCUGCUCAAUAUAUUAUUUCAUUUGGGCUUAUGGUCUUACCUCUUAUCUUCCUACCCAAAUCUCCCUCUACUGCCAUAGCUUCUAAUAGUUAGUCACACUUAAAUUCUUCAUGAUAAUUUCACAAAGAAGUAGACAAAUUACCUCCACUUGUUCAUGCAUUUAUGUGUGGUCAUAGCUUCUACCUCAUACAGACUGUGAGCAGCAACUGAAUUUCUUCGCUCCCUUCAUAGCCUCUAUGGGCUUUGGUCAGUCUUCCAAGGUCUGUGCUGAUUACUAAACCCUUUUGUGGGCUGAGAUAAAUGUAUAGAAAUCACAUGCAUGUGCAUACAUGGAGACCGAGACAGUAAACAAAGUUUAAUCACUUGGACAUCCUGUCUGUUGCUGAGCAUCUAACUAGUGAUAAAGUUAUUGCUGAUGUCAUCAAAUGUUUGGUAGCAAAAAGAAUUUGAUCAUUUUAUCUUUUAUGCUGAUUAUAGUAAACUUAACAUAUAUAAAAUGUAGGGAUGAACUGUUUUAUUCUCUUUUUGGAUUAUAGAAUUUAGAUUACCACCAUGCCCAGGAUUACAAGGAGCUUGUUAACUAUAUUUAGGUCAUAGCUAAACUGGAGAUGACUAGUCGGAGAGGAAGUUCAGGCUGAUAUUUUGGAAGGGUUAUAAGAUAUUUUCCUCUUUUGUUGGAACAUAAAACCGGAAGUUGGAUUCUUUUGGUAGGCUUGCCAUUUUAUAUUAAAGAUUAAUGCCAAAUCAAAUGAUCAGAACUUUAACUUGUAUGAAGGUUUUAUAUGAAAAAUACAAAGCAAUGCUGGAUUGUUAUGUGCUUAUGAUGUUGAGAGAAAGGAUUUUGUAUGUUAUCUUCACAUUAGCAAAGUAUUAUUUUGCACUAACUCAAGCAUUUACCAUCCUUUUCUGUAGAUAAACAUGUCCGCUGUUAGAGAGUGGGCUGCAUCUCAGAAUAGUAAAGUUCUCAAGGUUGCUUCUCUCACUUCAACUGCCUGUCCAUUUUAACACAUCAAUCCAUCAUUUGUGAACUUUUGGUAUUGACCUGUUUUGCCUAAUGGCAGGCUGUAGCAGUAAACAAUCGCAGGAAAUGGAAAACAACAACACAUAUGACUGCACUCACCAUCCUCCUUGCCACCAGAGACUCCAGGUUGUCGCCCUAUUCCUGCAAAUCAUUAUCUAUAUUUUAAGAUCUUUUUCCUUUUCUAGUUUUAAUGUCGGAAUACUUCACUGAACAUAAUUUUAGUAACUGUACAGUCUGACAGGGCUGGGUGUUCUAGUUACUUCUGGUGUAGUUUUGCUUUACGUAUCUGCUGGGCUUGCCAUAUGGUCAUUUGCUGGCUACAUGAGGAAGAUAUGGAGAGUUUUGCUUAAGUAGUUAUGCAAUACUUCAAGAUGGAUACAAGCCUUAAAUGCUGCGAGACUACAUUCACAAACAUUAAGGAUAUCCUUGUGGCAUCAACUUAUUGGCCAGGGCCCCCCUAAUUUGGCAGCUUUCUCCAGGCCAAAUGGGGACCUUUUCUUAUUGAUCCAAGCAAGGUAAUUGGUUGGUGGACAUGAUACGAUCUUUCUACAAUCAGAAGCAGCUCAAUAUAUUUGGGGGACUAAGGCCGUUUUAUCUUUGAGGCCUUCUCUGCAGUGGACCGGCCUAAGGCGAACUCACAUGGAUGCCUUUUUUCUUUCCGUUUUGUCCCUGCGGUGGGUCUUCUUUGGGCCGAGGCCUUAGGCGACCGCCUCAGCCGCCUAAAGAUUGGACCGGCCCUGUGACUACAAUGGAGAGGCUGGAACUGAAAUGCAUCAUUCAUUAUAUACCGCAUGUCGUUGGUUUCAUUAGCAAUUUUCUCAUCAGAAUCAGGGGAUACUUUACCUCUUGCCACAAGGACAGCUGUUUUGUCAAAUUUCACUGGACAAAAACAUUGCUGGGUUAUGUGAUACAAUAGAUAGCAACAUUUUGUGGUUGCGUUGGAAAACAAAAGAUUUUGAUCAUGGGAUGUUUCUUACAUGAAUCAAACAGGUCCUGAGCAGGCGCCGAUGCAGCAUUUUUCUACCAUUAUAAUUGAAGUGUAUCGUUCCAUGUUGGUAUCUUUAUCUGCUAAUAUUGUUAAGUAUGGUUGUUCCUUUUUUUUCGUUUUUGAUUUUUUUGCAAGCAGGCAAAGUAUAGGUACUGAGCACAAUCAUAAUGCUACAUACAUCCUACAGAGGUGAGUAUGGUAAGUAUAAUUCUUGCAAUUUGGGAUUGUUCGGCUUGUUUGUAAGCUUACAGUCCAUGAUCGAUGUUCUGGUCGGACUAAUGGUAGAUCUCUGUUUACUAUGAAGUCCUACUGCAGGUUGGGCAAAAAAAUUUCCUGUGUCUAAUACUAAUCAGGAUUAUGAUGGCAUCAUGGAGGAGAAUAAGGAGAAAAGCCUUCCUACUUUUCCAUUUGAUCUGAAAUAAAGCCAAAAGCCUUUUGUAAAACUGCACUGAAUAACCAUGCAUCCCUCGCAAUCACGGGUGGCUUGGUAUUACGUUUCCCCUGCCACAAUUCUGAUGAAUGCGUAGUAUAUUUGGCUAGGUUCACAUGCAUUUCCUGUGUCGGCCCUUGGUCGUCGAACAAAAGGGGAAAACCCACGCCUUAAAUGGCCACUUCUUGCUGUCACUUCCAAGCUCCUUUGUCCCAUCUUUCUUCCUUGUCUCACAGUUUCAGGUCACAUGAUCGCUUCGCCCGACUGAUGCCAUCAUUCUGUGGUGACCACCAUGAGACUUCAAAUGUCUUAUCGAGAACCUGAGGGUAUAACAAGUGAACAUUAUUGCGUUGCUCUCCGAUUGGUGGCCCCACGCUUCGAGUGCAAGCCAAGCCAACAAAUCAACACCUCAUCCCACAUUUCUCUCAUCAUGAUCGACUGCUCGUGUCAGCCAUCCAGGCUACGAGGUAAAAAGAGUGGCAUUUGGCGGGGAUAGAAAGGGGAACAAGAGAACGAGAAGGAUCGUGGUUGCUUUUGUUCAAGGAGAAUCAUGUUGUAUUAUUUUAAUUUGAAUGGGUUAAUCAAACUAUAUAAGCCCUAUAAAUCAUGGUUCUACAUUUCGGUACCGAUUUAAUGUUAUAGAUGUUGGUACGUUAUUUAUAUCGAAUAUCGGUAUCAAAUCGAUAUGGUAUGGUAUAUUUUAUGUCGUUUGAUUUGGGCCGAUACAGUAUAUUUUAUAUUAUGUAAGGGUACGGACGGAUGCUGGGGAAUCUCAAAGAUAAAUACCAGGUGCUGCAUGUUACGACAUAAAGGUAAAGGCACGGGACACGAAUGAAUGCAUAUUAAGACACCAAACAACCGUGCCGCAAACACGUCACGAGCAUUCUCCACUGUAAACGCUCCGAGAAUAUAUAUAUAUAUAUCGUUCAAAUCCCCACAUGCCAAGAUCCAGCCAUUCGGCCACAUCAAGUUCCGGUGUUCCUCCGGCACAACAAAUAAUAACCCUUUCCCCGUCCUUUCGACUGAGCCCACGAGCCGGGUCCAUUCCUUCUCCGUUGCCGGUCUAGACAACAGAGACCGAAGGGAAGACUCCAAGACCCGAGUUAAUUCCGAAAGCUGGGUUCGUCCUGUUUUUUGGUUCACUUUUAAAGGGUUACAACUAGGACUUCCCAAGGUCACCCAUUUUAAUACCAUCACUUAACUGCAGCAGAGUUUUGAUGGGAUCCGCUGCAUUAGUGUUGAUAUGAUCGCACCCUAUUCGUCCUGUUCACUGCGAGCCUUUAGCCUCCCUCUUCUCACGGAUGGAAACAGAAGCACAGAGCGAGAGUCCAGUUCAAAUGCCUGAAACUGAGAUGCAAGCCAAAGGAGAGUAGAUAACGGGGGUCUGAAGUUGAUGUCCUUCCUCAAUGUUUCGUGGUCUUAUUAUUGGCCAUUGCUGUGAUUCCAUUGAGGGUGGUGCGCUUCGAAAGAAGAUUUCAAUGAGGGUGGUGCGUUGGUAUUAGCGGAGGAGGAGGAGGAGGUAUUAUGAUGGGGAAAGGAGGGGAUGAUGGGUUCAGGACCGUGGAGCGCUUGAGGGGGAGGCUGCAGGCAGAGAGAGUGGCCUCCAAGGCUGCCAAGGAGCAAGCAGACAGCAUGGCCAAAAGGGUACCCAUCAUCAUUCUUAACAGGACUGUGGUUUUUUUUUUUGUUAUUCUUUAUUUUAAUUCCUUUUCAUGUUUAUUUUUGAACAGUUGGAAGAGCUGGAAAGGAAGCUGGCUGAAGAGAUGAAGUGCAGGAACAGGGCUGAAAAGAGGCUCGAGAAUGCUUUGAAGAAGCUGGAAUCUUUGAAGAUUUUGGAUUCCCCCGGAAGUUCGGCGAGUUCUUCGUCCUCGCAUUGCUUCUCGGGCCAUCUGAAGUUGGAAAGCUGGGGACUUGGUUCGCCGACCGUCGAUUGGGGACAAUGUGGUUGGCAGGAGGAGGCGCCACGGCUUCUUGGUGAUGAUGUCUCAGGGAGCUCACUGGUCGUUUCGACUCAUCGUCGAGAGCGAAGCUGGAGUUCGGCUGGGACGGCACCACCGGAUCUUCACAAAGGAGAGUCUCAUGGGGAUGAGAGCAGCAGAGGUGGCAGCCCCCGAGUGUCGAUUGCUGAUAAUGCAAGGUUAUGUUCAUUCACAGUUGACAUCGCAUCGAAUCUUCUGACAAUUUCUAUCAUAAGUUUCUUAUCGAUACACUAUAACCAGUAACACUAGAUGCUGAUGAUCCUUGUCAUUGUGGAUAGAACCUAAAGUACUUCAAUCCUUAUUAAUUCUUUUCAAGUGUUUUUAUCAAGGAUGACAUGAUUCUAAAAUUGGGCAUACUUGGGGAGGUUUAAAAAGAACAUGAUAACAAAUAAUUGCAUAAUGCUCGGUCAUAGAGUCGAGUUAGAUCGCCUUGGCCAAAAUUAUAGAACUUUGAGAACCCUGUACUGUCUGAUUACAUUAGAAAUGAUGGGGAACAGGGGAGUUUUAGCUACAGAACUGUAAGCAGGAGUAUUCAGGGAGGGAAAAAACAAGAUUAUUCAGCAUGUAUAUAUGAGUUCCUGAAGUUUACCAGAUAAAGGAUGAGCAAAGGUAACAAAAGGCUGAAAAGUCACUUGACAGAAGCACUAGUGCUUCUACUUUUAUUUUUAAGUGAACAAAAAUAAAAAUUGUCCUAGUGUUCCUGAAAACUUUGUCAUACUAUUGCCAAAUCUACAAUUUUAUGUCUUUUAUUGCAACUUGCCGCAUUUUUUCCUAUGUUUAUUUUUGAGUUAACAGGGUUAACCUCCACCUUUAUUCACUUGAUUGCAUUUGAUGACUUUGAUUUUAUCAUAUAAGGUCAUGGUCUCUCUACCCUUUUCACUGACUAAGUUGUUUAUCUCACCCCUCUCUUGCAAUAGCAAAAUGCCAAAUUUCUUUAUUAAUAUAAGUGCAGCAUUUCAUAAUCUGAAAAAGGCAAGUUGAUAUUCAUAUGUAUAUAUAUAAUAUUUUGAGAAAAAAUGGAUAUUGGAAUGACAUAUUAUAACCCUAAUAAAGGAAAUGCCUUGAACAACUAGAUGUUCAUCCAGGAUUGUGCUCUGUGGUUGGUGAUUCUUGAUGCCAGAACUGUAAUAAACCAAACUCAUGGAUAUAGUAAUAAAUGUUUUUAAAGUUACAUAUGAUUAUUUAGGAGUGUUUAUCUUUUGGUAGAAGCUUAUAUACAUGGUCAAAUUAAAAUGUUUGUCCAGUAAUAGUACGGAACUUUGGCAAACUGCCUUAGGCAGUCUUAGGCAGUGAUACUUAUAAAAGCUUCAGUGAGACACAGGUGGUGGGCAGGCAUCUAGAGUUUAGAUGACCUAACUAUUUCGUUACCUUUCUAUUUAGAUAUUGUAACUUGUAUCUCACACACAGAAACACUGAUGUAGUUUAUCGAAAACUUGUGAGAGAAACAUCAACGUAAAACUAUCAAUACUUUCAACUAUUUGUAUAUACCAUGGUUAUGGAAUCUUUAAGCAAUGGAUCUAUAGGGAACCCAUCCAUUGGAGUAGAAGAGUUUUUAUAGUUUCUUUUGAUUUGUUAGAAGAAUAUAAUAAUAUUAUAGCAUAUAAUGGCAUGACUUAGAUUUAAGUAUUCUACUUAAUACUUACUAAUCAAGCUACAGGUUAUAGGUAUCCAUGUUAAGCCACUAGCCAGAGCAUUACAUGAUCAUUAGGCCUUUAGGUGCCUGCACAAGCAAACUGUUACUUUGCCUGGUACCAAAGCAUGUGGUGGAUGCAAUGCAAUGGUUGCCAGGUAUGCAAGUGGGACUACCUUGACACUUCUGUGGCUGCCAGUGUUACAAGUGAAGCUUUGUUUCCUAAAAGGAUAAAAAAUCAACAGAGCUUUGGGUCACCCAUUUGAUUCAGCAUUUAUCUGCUAACUUUCCACUCAUUCACAACUUGUAGUGAUGAUAUAUAGUUUCUGAUGCAUUGCUACGUAAACAAUAGUUAAAUAAAUCUAAAUAUGCUAACAUAUCAUGUAUCAUACGCAUUUAGUUGAUAGUAUUUUUCUUUAUUAUGCAAAGUCGAAUUCUGUAUUUUCUCCUUCAUAACCUUGAAAAUAUUGCACAGUAUCAUUAAACUCAUGUGUAUAGGAGAGAAACACUAGAACUUUCUUCUUCACAAAUUUCCUGAGAAAUAUAUGAUUAGCUGUAGGGAAAAGGAAACCUACUAAGAGAAAAAAAAUCUGCACCUGUGUUCUUGAUCAUUGUCCAAGAAUUGGAUCAUCAAAAGAGAUAUGAUCAACAAUAUUGAAAGAAAGUACCGACUGAAAAUAUUUAGCAUCCAUGGACAAUAGCUAUUUACAAGCAUCGAAUCAAAAUCUUGUAUCUCCUCUUUGAUCCUGGGUGGCUAAGAAAAGCACAUUUCAUAACUAAGGAAUCUAAUAUUAACCUGUUGGAUCCAGAAUUUGAACAAAUCAGACAGAGCCUCAUCACUUUUUAGGAAUGGGGCCAUGGCAGUUUAUAAAAUGAGACUGAAACUAAUGUGCAAUGACAUUUUCUAAAAUAAAAGCAGUAAAUGCAGCCUUAGUCCCACAUGUAUUAGGAUUUCUCAUGCUAUGCAUUAGUCCAAGAACAACCUCCAGAGAAGUCUACUUUUAUUCCUCUUGCACAUUUUGCUUGUUCUGUACCUGGUCUCUCUUUUUUCUCCUCUCAGCCACACCAUUCUGCAUAUGGAAAAGAACCUAUAAUAAUUUAUGACUACUUUGUCUUCAUAAUAUGUUUGCCUGCAAGUUAACUGACUUUCCUGGUUGCAUCUUGUCAAGCCCUCAUACAGUUUAUCAUCCUUUGCUCUCAUUAAGCUGAUCCAGAUGACAUGUUAAUACAUAUCUAUGAUUGAUAUAUUGAGAAAAAGCAGAUAUAACUGAAGACCCCAACUAUCACAAUAAGCAAUGCCCAAAAGAAUCAGAUUUCAAUGGCAGUGGUUAUGAAUCAACUGGAUAUUGCUACCAUAGGAUCUCUGACUAUACAUGACAUCUAUGUCAUGCACAUGACAUGUGAAGAACUUACACUUCACAUAUACAAUCUCUUCCCAUAAACCAAGUCAUACAACACACAUGCACAUGUGUGUCGUGAACAUUUGUGUUUGUCAUUAUGGACAAAGGCACCGAGUUCGCUUUUUAAGAAUAAGCAUUUGUUGUCCAAUAGCCAACCCAAACUGAUAUCAAGGUCAGGUGUACCCUUCAUGUCUAUGUCUAGAUCUAUAUUCUAUAACAACUGAAAAAUUCUGAUGUAAUAGUUCAGCAAUGUAAAUCCACUCUUUGGAGAGAGUAGCAAAGUGAAAUAAAUGAAGCUUGUCCAAGCAAGUCAGAAUGAGUGCAGGAAACUUCCUUCUUUUUAUAAAGAAAAAAUGCAGUAGUUUAUCAUUGUAGAAUUGAGAAUGAAUCGUGAACAUGACCAAGAUGUUGAAGCCAGAAACUUGAAAUAUAGGAUUUAUUGUGCCUUUUUUUCUCCCAGCUAGUGUUAAACUCUCUCUCUCUCUCUCUCUCUCUCUCUCUCUCUCUCNNNNNNNNNNNNNNNNNNNNACUCUCUCUCUCUCUCUCUCUCUCUCUCUCUCUCUCUCUCUCUCACUCUCUUCAAAUGCUGCUUAUCAUGAAUUCAAUAAGCUUACAUUUUUACAUCUUGGACCAGAAAGUCUUCUGUCAGUGAUAACAAGCUGGACGAUGAUGAGAAUCAAACUGAAGAGGUCGACAAUGCAUUGGCUCUAGUUCCUGUAAGCUUGCGUUGCAAUUUGGAGGGCUGCAAGCCAGAGAUCAACAACAACGUGCAAAGUGUUCUUAUUGCCCUAAGACAUGUCAAAGACCAGUUGCAAUAUUCCAUGAGGAGAACUGGUGUUUUCUCUCCCAAAGAGCUGUAUGGCCGGUGAGGGAGAUUGCCUUGAGGGCCUUUCCAUCCCACAUAUCUCUUUUAUUUCCAGUAAAUAUUGUGGUAAAAUAGAUGGAAGGUCAGUGAAGUAGCUUCAUAGAGGGUUUUUGUUUUGGCUAGAUGAUAUCAUAUGUUACUAAUAAUGCAUCAAUUUCAAGACUUAUCCUUCUUGUAAAGUGCAGCUGGAGGUUUUUCCAAUGCGUAAAAAUGACGGAAGGUUUGAUCAUAAGCAUUAUAAUCUGCAAUUGCCCAGCUGAUAUCAUGCCUUUUUUUUGGGGGGGGGGAUGCUGGAGAGACAAGGAGAAAGGGUUUCUGAACCAAUUGGCAUUUUAUCGUCCCUUUCAUUUCACCUUAUUGUUGCCAGUUCCUUCCUUGCAAGGAAAAUGAGGCAAGUUCAAGACAUUUUACUAACAAAACCUGUUGCUCUCUUGGUGGUUCUCAAUCUGCCCUUAAGUAGCACAACAGGAUAGUUCAUUCAUGUUCCAUCCUUUCUUAAAUUCUUGAGUGAAUUCAAGUUGCUAUAGAGAGACCUACCGCCCUAUGUUUAUCUAGGUCCUAAUAAUUACUAGCCCCAGUUCAUUAAGUGAAUUCAAGUUAAACACAUGCCUUCAAACCCGUACUCAAAGAUUGGAUGCUCCCUUUGUUCAUCCAUGUCGGAUUUGCUCCAUGAAUAUCUCUAUGCCAUUGUUUCAGAAAAGGCAGUUCAAGUUAGAUUUAGUAUUUACAUAUAAACCAACAACAAAAACAUGGUCGCCAAUGAAGAAUUUCUAGAUUAUUGUCAUUGUUGUAGAGCUGGGAGUCAAACGAAUCCCAUGGCCAAUAACCAAACCAGACAGAAUUUAAUUAACAGAAUUGCUGAUUGAUAACUUCAUUAUUACAAUAUUCUAUGAAUUAUUGGAAGAAUUUUUAAAUUAUUUUUUCUCUUGAUCGAAUGAUUCUCCAAACUAUUCAUUAAUAAUGAAUCGAUCCAGAGCUAUUCAAUUAUUUUUGAAUUAUUUAUGAAUUUUACAAUUUAUUCACAAAAUUUUCAUGACUAAAUAUUUAUAUACGUUACAAAUCAAUGAUACCAUAUUUCUUUGCUAGCAGGGCUGUUGUUUUGCUACUAUUUGUUAUUUUUAUCUCCUAUACUUAUUCGUAAGUAACCAAACUUUUAAAUAUUUUUAAAAACAAUAUUUCUAAAAAUUCUAUUAGUUUUUUAACUUUUUAUUAUCCAUUUUUUUCCUCCGAACUCUUUCUAAACUUCUGAUAAUUUUUUCAUACUUUUCCCCAAUUCUGGGUCAUUAUAUCCAUCUGAAUUAUUCCCAAACACCAAGCAUGUGAUGAUGUACACAAUAAAUCAGUCAUAUGCAUCUACGUACUUUGAACAUAAGCUAUCUUAAAAGCUCUAGAGUCAAACAGGUUUGGAUUAAGCGGGUACGUGAUCAAGAUUAAUUCAGCAAAUUACAUUUCUAAAGAAAGUUACGUAUUUAUUUCAGCCUGUCUAAUUUCUAAAACCUUGAAAAAAUUAAUUAAUAUUGAUAGAAAUAGAGUAAUGAGCAUUAGGAAAACAAACUAUGAUGCACCACAAGGUCCGACCAUAAACAAGCUGCCAUAACAAACCUGUCAUUUCCCAUGCAAUUUGCUACAAGGUUUUAGUCAAGCGUGAGAAUUGCAAACCAGCAUCAUUCUUUAUUUAUUUUAUCACAUUUAUGAUAUGCCAUAAUGUUCGACCUCUUGUAAGAGUAACAAGAAGCUAUAAUGUAUCACCUGUUUCCUCUUGUGAGUAGCAUCUAUACCUUGAAAUAAGCAUCUUUAUUUUACUUCACCAAUGAACACACAAACAAUAUUUGCCAAAUAUUCCACAGAAUUUCAAAAUGAAUCAGCAUCCAGAGCAGUAAUGGUCUCAAUCAUUUCAAAUACACGAGGACUUCCAGCAACUGCUGAACUUCCGAUGCUGAAAAAAGAAAAGAAUAUAUGCAUCUUUAGGGCUCAGAAAGAUGGUUUGAAUUUUGUGUCAUUUGAAUUCUUUGAAAAUAAUCCAAACAAAUUUUACAGCCAAAAGAGUAAGUUACCUCAGAGAUCGGCAUUCUAGUUCUCACAGAAUCAAUCCUUGAGAGAUCAAUGUCAGCUACAGCAAUUCCAGUUGAUAAACGAUCUGUAACAUGGAAUCAAAUUAGUGUCAUGAACUACACAAUCUUUAACAUGUAGGCCUAUCAACAUGCUAAAGAAAUGGCAUACAGGUCAUUUAUCUCCGUGCAUUGUGUGGCGUUGGGGAUAGACUCCACAUCAGAGUAAAGGUUUCUUGUACUAAAAAAAAUGGCAGAUUACAGUCUUGAUAUUUCUAUAACAAGAGCCCAGAUCCUUUUCAUAACACAUUUUACCUUAAAAAAAUACGAUGCUGGAGCAAUUAUACGUUCAAGCAUUUUAUUUGAAACAAUUAUGAGAAGGCGGGCACAGAUUGACCAGAAAUGUUCUAUUCUACAUAGCUCUUGGCAAUAACCAUUUUUACAAUGAUCUUCUUAAUUAAAAUCCCCAAAAGCUUUGAACUAUGAAAUUUGUACAACUCGAGAGAGAGAGAGAGAGAGAGAGAGAGAGAGAGAGAGAGAGGNNNNNNNNNNNNNNNNNNNNGAGAGAGAGAGAGGGCGCCAAGGGAGGGGGGCAAGGAUGAUGUGUUUACCUGGAAGUCGAGCUAUUAUUGUUCCCCAUGGAUCAAUAACCAGAGAAUCGCCAUAGCUCUCUCUUUUCUCAUUGUGCCUUCCAGCUUGAGCCGCAGCUAUAACCUAUAAAAAAGAUAUGAAAGACAUUCAAACACUAAUGAUAUCAUCCACAUUAACUUUAAAAUUAUAAAACGAUUUAGACACUAGUAAUUUGCACGUGAUGUAUUUAAAUCAUCAGACUAUAUUAAAGAUAAACAAUAAAAACCAAAAUGUGUUGUCAGCAUCUAGUAGCUAACUUUUGUUAGCCUCCAUAUCAAGAAUUUAAUGCAAUUUUGGAGAUGUAAAUUUGUUUGAUGCUCGGUUGACUGUUACAUAAAUGAGGGUCGGCAUCAGUGUGUCGUUUCUUACCAGCCCCCACCACUCCAACUUGACUAAAAGAUUACUAAUUAUAUUACAAAGCACCCAUCAGAGCCAGCUGCUUCUCAUUUUCCCAUUUUCUUUCUUUAUCCUUUUCUUCCCUAUGAUUUUACUUCGAUCCCCCUCCAUAUCUUACCGAGUGGCGCAUAAAAAAGGAUUGGUAGAAAGUGUGACAGCUUUCCUCCUUUCUCCCUACUGUAAGUGAUUUUCCUACUGUUCUCGUUUCUCUCAUCUCCAUGCUUGUGAAUCUUUUUCUCUCCUACAUUCCUCCCCUUGUUUACUUUAAAUUUUUGUUCAGAGUCUCAAUGUCAGCCCAAACCUUGACCAACUUUGUUUCCCUAACAAACUUUUAGCCUUGCUGUUCUAUGGUUCUAACCCUUUGAUUCCAUCCAGCAGCCUUUGACACUUCAUGCCCAUAUCAGAAAAACGCCUCCUUCCAUACUAUCAGUUGAACCCUCCAAAGGUUAUAUUUCAUGGAUGUUUUAUUUUAUUCUGUCUUUUUCUUUUUCUUUGUUCCUUGGCAAUUUUUUGAAUGCCAAAAUUGUUGAUAGUGCAUUACUUCAUAUUUAGGUCAGUUUUCUGGUUUCUUUUUUAUUUGUUUGACCAAAAUUUGUUGCAUCGUGGCAUUGCCCCUCUCUGUUCCUUGUGUGUUCUCCAAAAUUGAAUGUCAUGCAAUAUCAACCCUAGGUUGCAUUAAGACUAUGCCCUAUUAGGUAAACAGUACAAUCAUAGCCGUCCAGAUAGCAAUCCCAUGGCCUAUUCAAGUUUGAGUUUUAUGGUGUUGACACUGUUCUCAUUCAUAGGCAUGUCGUAAGAAUAUAAUGGUGCUUCGAACCUUGGGCUAUUGCAACACAUGCAACGUAGAUUAUUAUUGACCUCCAUUAUCUACUUACAAUAAGAUGAUGGAGAUGUAAAUGUUGACUUCUGUAAGUUUGCAUAAUUGUGAAUUUUGAUUAAUCAUGGCACCGAUAGCCGGCAAAAUCUUUGACAAUCAGUAAAUUUUGGCUAGAUUGGCAUUCCAUGUCAAAAAAUGUUAUGAUAUCAAUUUAUCAGGUGUCCUGACUUUGAUAAGGAAGCUAGCACAAAAAGACUAGUAACUAGAGCAGUCCUACAAGAAAGUACUGCGAAAGCUCAGCAAUAGAGUAUCAUGAGUAGGGAUGCUGUGCUAGUGUGUGUCCCAAACAUAAAUGACCGUAGUGAUUAAAGGAUGGCAUGCUUUCCCUGAAAGUCAUAGAGAUCCAAAACUAAACAGCAGUUUUUUAUAGCAACAACAAAAAUAUAACAGAUAGAUAAAAAACCUUAAACCUGAUCCGGACCAUGGUCUGAUGUGCUGUAUUAUGACAGGACAUACCUGGAACCCAGCAUUGGGUUGGAUGGCAUUCUUAAAUCUUUUCUAAGUUUAUUAAUAUAAAAAGGGCUCUAGAGUCUUUUUGUUGGGGGCACCACAUGGCAUGUGCCAUCCAAGGUUAGUGAGUUCAUUGUAAGCAAUAUUAAUUCUAUGCAAAGGAAAAAGAGGACGGAUAUAGCUCAUAAAAUUUGAGUUAUCUAUGAUUGCCAUAUUAAUAUCAGUAUAUGAUUUCUACAAUAAUAUAAACAUGGAUAUCAAUGUUACAGCUCAACUAAAAAUUGAUCUAAAAAUGUUGGAAAUUAAAUGAUUAAGUGAAACUCUGUCAGUUUAACUGAUUUAUCUUAUUAUCUUUAUAGCAAGUUCAAUAAAUUUUACAAUUUUCCAUCCAAUGUUACAUGCGAUAUGAUUCAAUCAUCUUACAAUCUAUAAAAUGCUUCUUAUCUGACCUUCUUUUCAGACACUCAAUUCAUAACUGUUUCCUGACAAAAAUCAUCUUUCUAUUCCUAUCAUUCUACAAAACCAUACAAUUUAUGACUGCUUCAACACCUCAAUAAAGUUUACUUACAUAUAUAAAUUUCAUGCCUUGUUAAUUCUGCCCCACCGUCUACUAGAAUUCUCACCUCUAAUACACUACCACACGUUCAACCUUUCAUCAAGAUGUCAUCAUACUUCUGUCUGAAAAAAUAUCUACUUAGUCAUAUAUUCAGCACACAUGAUCAUGUAAGCAUAUCUUGAUGUGUAAGCUCUGAGCCAUCCAACAGUAGGAAAAGUCAUUUUUGAUUACAUAAUCCACAGGUCCCUUGCACUGGAUAAUUGUUAAUUUGUUUCCAGAAAAGAAAAAGGUGCUGCGCUCUAAUUAGUAACAUAAGAUAAUCAGUGAAAAUUAAAGAGGAUUGAAAGGGUGGUGAAAAACUUUCAACGGGGAACAGGAAAAUUUACAGAUGAAAAAUGUUUAGCAGACAAAAAAGAAUGUCUGGUGUUUCAUAGAAAAUGUCCUUUACUAACUUUUAAAGUAAGCAGAGCAGUUACUAAGAAAAUCAAGUGUUUGGUAAUAUCAUUUGUAAAGUGCUUCUACAAGAGGAAGGCAAAGAACUGCUUUUAGGAGCAGCUAGAAAAACUAGCUUCUAGCUACAUCUGUGAGAUUGCUCCUUGUCUUUCAAAUAUGUAAGCUCAUCCACAAAAAAAGUAGUUCUUGAUAUGUUAUUGUCAAACACCAAAUAUAACAAAAGGUACACUCUAUAUAAGAACUUACAUGAAUAUGAUUCUUGAGAAUGAC
RNAcentral lists this long non-coding RNA (77149 nucleotides) under Phoenix dactylifera (date palm). RNAcentral describes it as "long non-coding RNA (PDAC_LNC000186)". Lineage: Eukaryota; Viridiplantae; Streptophyta; Magnoliopsida; Arecales; Arecaceae. The record is from RNAcentral.